CUCCAAUCCCACUACUAGUUCCCAGAGAAUCCACCCGCGACGCCAAAAUAAUGGGCUACGACAUUGCAGCACGGACACAAGUCAUUACCAAUGUAUGGGCAAUUGGGAGAGAUCCACUGCUGUGGGAUGAGGCCGAGGAGUUUCGGCCAGAAAGGUUCUUGAACUCUUCUAUAGAUUUCAGGGGGCAAGACUUUGAGUUGAUCCCAUUUGGAUCUGGCCGGAGAGGUUGCCCGGGAACUCUGUUCGCGGCAAUGGCAAUUGAGGUUGUGUUAGCAAAUCUUGUUCAUCGGUUUGAUUGGGAAGUGGGUGGUGGAGGUAGAAGGGAGGAUUUGGAUAUGACUGAAUGCACUGGUCUGACCAUUCAUAGAAAAGUUCCACUUCUUGCAGUUGCAACUCCAUGGCCUCGCUGAGUGUGUGGAUACCUUUCAUUUUGUUGUAUUAUCGUCCUAUUUGAGAUAAAUAAUAAUAAUAAAUAUAUAAAAAUAAAUAGAAUUUUUUUCUUCUGUUUUUAUACCUAGAAUAAUAAUAAAUAUUCUUUUAAUUUGUGCUUUAAUUUUAUAUUCUAAAAUUAUAUUCAAAAUGCUCUAAUCCCUGCAUUCAUGAUUGCAAAAAUAAAAUAAAAAAAAUUUCAUGCUAGAAAAUUCAUGGAAUUGCUUUUUCUAGUUCAAGAAACAAUUCUGGAUAAGACAUAUAUAGUAUGUCAUUACGUGAGGAGGAGAAAAAAAAAAUGGAAAAAAUCGUUUAUAAAGAUUCUUUUUCCAUUGGGCCAAUCGCAGUUGGGAUUGCGUGGUUACUGUUGGAACGUCAUUUGUUUAUUUGGCCUUGGUGCCUAGGCUGAAGAGCCGACCUUUUGUGCUCUGGUGGUGCCUAGGCUUGAGCCUACGCGGCGUCAGCGCAGAGUCCAGGAGGGCAACCACAAAGACUAAGGUCUUGAGUUCGAAUCUUGGGGACGUCACCCUCAAGGGCCAAAUAAACAAAUGGCCCCAUAAGACUCUGUGCUGGCGCCGCGCAGGCUCUUCAGCCUAGGCACCAGGGCUAAAUAAACAAAUGACGUCCCAACAGUUACCAUCCAUCACAAGAGACUUUUUGAAUUGAUUCUGAUUUCUAAAAUCAAUUCUAUUUUAUGGUGACUUCAAGCUUAUCUUCGAAAAGGGUCAUAGAAUCCAUGAUUAAAACUACUCUAAACAAAAGAUUAAGUAGCUAGUGAAGUAGAGAAUGAAGGUCCAUCACUCACCCAUGAAUUAAUUCAUCACAGUUUUCUCUUUAUAUUAUCCUAGGUGGUUAAUGGUAUAGUCAUGGAAAUGGUUAUUGAGUUUGUUUUAAGGCUUUAUCCAUCCUAGGAGUAAUAAUUUGUCAAAAGGAUAUCUAGAGGAACUUGUUUUAGUAGAAGGUGCUGGCGUUGAAGGUAAGAUGUCUGGUGAUUAUUCAAUUAGGUUUGUAAAUCCAUGAAUAGGCUCAAUAUUAAUGCUUGAAAUGAGUUGAAUAUUUAUAUUUAUACAUCUCUAGGAGAUCCACAAAUCCCUAAAAAAAAUAUAGUAAACAAAAAAAGAAGUAAAUUUUCCUAAGAUUCAAAAUGACUUAGAAAAUUGGAAACUAGUCAAGUUUUCUUGUCAAGAAAUUUAUAAAAAAAAAAAAUAUGAUCUUUUAAGUUUUUCUUUGAUUACAAUUAAUAUGAUUGAAUAGACCAUAAGUUUGGAAUAAGAUGACUAAAUUAUAAGACUUCUAGAUUAUAGAAAAUCUAUAGAAAGACAUAAGAAAGAUUAUAACUUUAUAUUUUUAAGAAUAAUCCAAAUAGUUGUUAAGCCUUUGGUCAGAAUUGGUCUAAACACUUCCAUUGUUAUGUGCUUAAGAUAUAAUAGAUAUCUUGAUUAUAAAGAUUUUACUAUAUGAGUGGUCAAGACAAGAUUAAAUGAUAUACCAAUUUAUUUUAAGUGUUUUCUACGCCUUGGUCAAACUGGUUUAAACACUUCCAUUGUUAUGUGCCUGAGGUAUAAUAUUUGAUUAUAAAGAUUUUAUUAUGUGAGUAGUUAAGUCAAAAUUAAAUGAUUGACCAAUUUAUUUAAGUGUUUUUCUAACUUCAUAGUAAUAUUAAAAGAUACUGAUAUCUUAGAUCUAGUAGACCUUCAUGUGAUACAUGAAUUUAAGUUUAAGGAAGAAAAUAGUCCAGUUUCCAUAAUUAUUAAAUUUUCUUACAAAAGUAUGACUACCAUUGUAGGAUCAAUAGCUUUAUGCACAGGUCCUAAGUGUGAGAGAAUGAAGUUAAAUUUUUGGAGUCAUGAUAUUUUCCCAAUGUUAUUCCACCUAUAAAACAAUGAAUAGAUAAUAUUGAACAAAUAAUUAAAUAGAGAAAAUUGAACACAUAAUUUAAUAUCCUUGUAGAGAAGGAGAUAUAAUCUUUUCCAAUUCAUAAUAUGAACCCUUUAGAGUAUCAUGCUCAUCUAUUUCUAUUAAGUCCACUAAGUUAGAGGAAAAAUCCAUAUCCUCAAAACUUAAGAAUAUUAAGUUAUCAAGGGUUAGAAGUCACACAAAUUAAUAUAGCACAACUCUACUAUUAAAAAGAUAGGGAGCCAAUGUAAGAAUUACCUGAUAUGUCACUCACAUAUUCCCAAAUGAUUAAUGUAAUAGAUAAAAAAUUUAUGAUUAAUAAGAAAUUAAGAUAAGAUUUAUUCUCUAAGGAAAACAAAGAAAAAAUUUAUGAUAUUUUAGCAAUGUUCACAGGUGUUUAGAACUAUAUCUUAGGAAAAAUUUUAUAGUUACCUAAGAAAACACCAAACUCAUGUCAAGUUUUUGGAAGUGGUUUGAAGCCUUUAGGUUAUGUUUGGUUCUUGAAAAAUGUAAGGGAAUCUAUAAGGGAAAGAAAAUAAAGAGGAAAAGUAGAUGGGAAGAAAAAGUGAAGAAAAAUAAAAAAUAAAUUUAAAGUUAAUAAAUUACUUUUAUAUACUACUUCAAACUCAUUUAACUUAUUUUAACUCAUCUAUAUAAAAAUAAAAUAAUUUAAAACUGCAUAAAUUUCUAAUUAAUUUGAAUUAUAUUUGAUUUUCUUUGGUAUUUUUUGUAGUACAACCAAACAUAAGAAAAUCAUUUUUCUUAAUAUUUUUUAUUUAUUUUCCAUAAUGCUUUCUAGAAACCAAAUAUAACCUUUAACAAAAUGAAUUUCUUAGUUAUCCAAUCAAGGAUAUCAACAAUAACAUAAGAAAUAGUAAACAAUGGAAGAGUAGGGAUGAUAUCAUUAUAUGUAAUCCACCCUAUAGUAGCUAAGAUUGAUAAGAAUGUUAAUGAAACAAUAGCCAAAACAUAACCUUUUAAGACUAAGAUGGAUGAUAAAGAAACUGCUAGCUCAACAAAUAUUAAGAAAAUUAUGGAACAAAAUAAUUAUAUUAAUAUGUAUUAAGACAACUUUUAUUGAAAAAGAUGAUCACUUUUAUUUAAUAUGUUUUUUAAGACUUUAGAAUAUCAACUCAAUAAAGUGGAAGAAGUUAUCCAAAAUAAAAGACAUAUUAAGACAACCUUUAAUGAAAAAGAUGAUAAGCUUUUAUUUAAGCCAUUUGAGUUAUCUAAGAAAUUUCAAGGAAACCCUAUACUUGACUAAAAUCUAAUAAAAAGAAUAAUUUUAAUGCAUUAAAUGAAAAUUUAAUUAUUGCGGAUACUCCACAAUCUUCCUAUAUAAGGAUAAUUAAUGUAUUGAUGAAGAUCGAUAUUAGCUUAGAUGCUGAAAUUGAUGAACUAAUUAAAAUUUAAAAAAACUUAAAACUAGGAAAUUUAUAGGAUUAAGAAUUUUUAGAAUCGGGAAAUUACUAGGACCAAGAAUUUUAACCUUAAACCAACCUUCCUCGAUAUGCAAUAUGAGAAAAGGAAUCUAUACCUAGAAUCUUCAUAUACCAGUAGAACUAUUUACGAAUAAAGCAUAGUUGGUAUGACAAAGUAUGACAUAUUAACCAAACUUCGGGAAGUGACUAUUGUUAGCAUAACCUAUAAACUAAACAAUAGAUUGUUAUAUCAUAUGUUUGCCUAGAGACUAAUUGUUAUGUUUACAAGCCAACUAAAAGGUUGGUGAGAUCAUUUCUCAUUUAAGAAGAUAAGAGUUUUAUCUUAAGUGCAUAUAGAACUAAUUCAAAAAAUGAAAUAGUUGAGGAUGAGGAAGAUAUAGAGGAUGCCAUUGCUACUCUAAUUUUCUCUAUCUCUAAACAUUUAAUAGGAGAUCCAUCAAAGAUAAUUGACAAAACAAUAGAUUUAUUAAUCAAACUUAAAUGUCUUAAACUUCAAGAUUUUAGGCGGUAUAAAGACAUUUUUAACCAAGGUUAUGUAAAGAUCAAAUUGUAAUAAAUCAUUUUGGAAAGAAAAAUUUAUUUCAGGAUUACCUAUGCUUUUCUCAUAAAAGAUUAAGAUUAAGAUUAGAGAAUCCUUAUUGUAAGUUGACAUAUGGAAAUAUUAUAAGCAUUACUAUUACCAAAGGCAAUAACUUAUGUAAUGAUUUUAAACUUAAGUAAUGAUUUGCGUGUACAUUGUGUAGGUUUAAAAGGUUUAAUGGAUGAUAUUCUAAGUAUAUCCGAUUACUUUGACCUAUUUCUAUACUAAAGACAUAUUUUGGAAUCAAUGUUGGGAUUUUAUAAGAAUUUGUGCAAAAUUGCAGCACUUUUUAAUGUCCACAUUAAUUAAGAAGAAGCAAGAUUGGAUUUUGAUAGUAGGCAAUUGGAGAUGAAGUAUCUAGAGUAAAUGAACAUUUCAAUAUUACUGAGGUAUCGAUUUUGGUAUUUUGAUACCAUGAUAGAGCUCACAUUUCUGGUAGCUAUAAUGGGUUUAUCGAAUUCACAUCUCAGGAAGUCACAUUGUAAAUUGAGGGAUUAAGAAUCAAUAUACAAAUUCUAAUUUUGAUAUGCAAAAUAUGUAUCAGUUGCUAUCACUUUAUAUCGAUUCUUAACCAAGAAGCUACAAAAAGAUUGGAGAUUACAAUUGAUAUGCAAAAUAUAUUUGGAUACCAUGAUUGUCCAUUCUUAUGUAUAAAAUUGUAUUAAAUUGUCACUGUUGUAUCGAAACAACUUGUGAACAGCGUACAAGGUCAAAGUUGAAGAUUCAUUCUUUGGUUUUACUCAAUACGUGGUAGGUUGUGAUUGGAUUGUAAGUUGAUCAAAUGCCUAUUAAUAACUUGCCUCGGUGAUAUAGGGAUGAGGGAGAUCGAGUGAUAGAGAGAAUUUAGUCUUAGUUGUAAAGAGUUUUUUUUUCCAUUGUGGUUUCUUGUUAUUUUCUUGGUUGCCAAACAAGAGUGAGGAUCAUGAAUCUUGCCCUAGAUUGUGAGUCUUUAUCAAUUUUUGGAAGAAGAUUGUAUGAAUCAAUAUUAAAGAAAGAAAUGAUGUAGUUCUCUGUUAGGAUUUUAACUUGUUUUUUUUAGAUUUUUGGUUUUUCUUAACUGAGCUUGAAUUCUUUUGAUGUCUGAUCAUGAAACUAGUUCAUUUCAAGCUAAAGAAUUUGGAUUUAUUAGAGAGGUUUUAGGAAUUGGAAUAGAAUGGAUCUGAUCAUAAUGUGAGGUUCUCAAAUUUCUAAAAGGAUAAUAUACAAACUAAGCUUUAAAGUAGGAAGUCUUAUCCUAAGUGCUGAUAUCAAAUGCAUAUUUGGUUCAUUACAAGACAUUUUCUAAAGAUCAACAUAUGAGAUACAACUGUAGAUUACUAUUAGAUAAUUUCCUUUCAAAAAUCAUAUGAUAAAUCAUACUAAUUCCUUAUUCUUUUGUAUGAUAAACCUUUUUUUUAAAGGUCAUGUGAUUAUUAUUGAUAAUUUGAUUUAGAUCCUUGCAGAGAUGACCUAAUCAACUAUGACAAUUUUUAUUCUUUUGAAUUUCAAGAGAAAUUAUUUUGGUUUGAGAAUACAAGAUUUCAAUGACAGAUCUGGUAUUUUUGUAUAAUAUAUGACUAAUUAUAAACCGUUUUCUAAUUUAAUCAUGUAUCAAAAUUAGUCAAUCAAAAAAUGACACCAUUGUUGAGAUCUACCAAUAGAUUAUUAAUAUGAACAUAUAACUUUAAAAUUAUCAGUUUUCUAAAAUUUAUUGAAUCUGGUUUAGAUAGAAAAAUUCUUUGUUUUCGUUUAACAAUGAUGUGGCAAAGCUAUGAGGUUUUAUAUUGCUCUUGAGGAAAUGGAUUAGAGAAGAGAUAAAAACAUCUAUAGUAUCAAUAAUUAAUGAAAGAUCAAAUCAAUCAGAAUCUACCUAAUCAAGAUCAGAUCUAAAGAUUUCCUUCUAUGCGAGAUCACUUGAAGAUGCUAAGAGUAGCUUCUCCAUCAUGCUUUAUUCCUCAAACUGAGCAUGUCACUGUUUGAUUAGAGUUAGUACCACUAUUACCGAUAUUUAGAGAAUGUGAAGAAGAGAAUCCAUAUAUGCACAUUAAAGAAAAUGAAGAGAUGUACUCUAUGCUUCAGGAUUAGAAUAUAUCCAUGGAUAUAAUAAAAAUGAGGCUAUUUUCGUUAACUAUGAAAGACAAGGCUAAGGUCUAGUUCAAUGCCUUACGACCUAGAAGCAUAUCAAUUGGAAUGAGUUGCAAUCUAGUUUUCUUCAAAAGUUCUUUUCUCCACAUCACAUUAGUAUGUUGAACUAGGAAAUGUCUAAUUUCAUUGUAAAAAAAAAAAAAAAAAGUGAAAAUUUCUGUGUGCUAGGAGUGAUUUAAGGAGACAAUAACAACUUUUUCAUAUAAUGGUUUCAACAUUUGGUUGAUAGUAUCAUACUUCUAUGAAGGAAUGCUUCUAUAGAUGAAGCAAUUGGUUGAUAAGAUUUUUGGAGGAGAUUUUAAGAGUAAAAGUUCAUAUGAGGCCAUUCAGUUUCUAUAAUGUCGCUGAUGUCUUGAGAGGAUUGGAAUAUUCGGUGUAGAAAAACACUGAAAAUAAGAGAAACUCCAAUUCUAAUUAAUCUUUUGGUAGAUGAGGGAUGUAUAUAGUAGAUUAUGACAUGGAACUGCAAUCGAAAUAUCCAUCUCCGGUAAGAAAGACUAAAGAUAACAAGAUCUAUAAGUAAGUGAAUCGAUGGGACUUUGUGCCAUUUAGGAAUCACAAGGGCAUGUUAUAGAAGAAUGUCCUACUGUAUGUACUGUCAAGGAAAUAUUCAAUGAGUAGGUAGUUGUUGUUGGCAUGAUUAUAAGAUUUAAUCAAGGAAUGUUCCGUCCUCAGCAAAGAUAUUACUUCCCAUUUUCAAAUAUGUAUAACCCUAGUUGGUGGGAUCAUCCUAACUUGUCAUGGAACUACCCUAGCAAUGUUUAUAACAACAUGUUAGAAUAUUAGCUGAAGGAGAAUUACCAUAGACAAAAUAUGCAACCCCAACACUCAUAAAAUAUUCUUUAAUCACCACUAGAAGUAAUGAUGCAGUCAUUUAUCGGAGAAUAAAUGAAAACAAAAAUGGUGGGUUCAAAAGAUCUAUCAAUAAUCAAAGGAAGUGAAAUGAUGGGCAGAGAAAAUUUAAAGUUUCUACAUCUUAUUGCAUCACUAAUAUCUAGAAAAUGUUGAACAAGGUUAACAAACAAUCUAAUUGUGACAAAGAGAAGUUUUCAGCACAACCAUACUAAAAUCCUAAAUCCCUAUGUGAAGCUACCAAUUCUACAACCUCCACCAGUGAGCAUCAAGAAUUGAAAUUCUAAUUGCUUUGAGAAGUAGUAAACUACUAGAUUUAGACAUCAAAUAAAUCCAAAAGCAGAGGAGAUAAAAUCUAAAAAACAGAAAAAACCAAAAAUACAAAUAAGGAAGAAAAGAUAUAGGUAUAAUAAAAAAAUGACUGAACUUUUGGAAGAGCCUAAACUAGCCAAAACAAUAGCUCUAUUUCCUCAAGCACUAAGAAGAAAGGAAUAUGGUCAAUAUGUAGAAGUAUUUGACAUACUCCGUUAAGUUAAAGUUAACAUUCCUCUUCUAGAUUUGGUUCACCAAGUACUCAUCUACGCAAAAUUCUUGAAGAAUUUGUGUACAACAAGAAGAAAAAUGAUUGUUGACAGGAAAACAUUUGUAGCAGAGCAAAUCAAUGUACUUAUUCAAUGCAAAACCCUAAUUAAGUACAAGGAUUUUGGUUGUCCCACUAUAAUGACUUCAGGUGGACAAGUUCUACUACCUUGUUGAUUUUAUAAUGUUAGACAUCAAACAACUAAAGAGGAAUGCAAAUCUAGUUCCAAUCAUCCUAGGCAAACAAUUUUUAGAAAUUGCUAAUGCUCUAACAAAUUUAAAAAAUGGAAUAAUGAAGCUAGCUUUUAGAGACAUUACUCUAGAGACUAAUGUAUUCUAGCUACUAAAAAUUCAUGUGCUACAAGCAUAGGAAGAUGAACCAAAUGAGAUAUGUUUGAUGGAAACAUUGAUUUAAAAGCAUAAGGAGAGUUUGAUAGAACAUUAGUCAAUCAAGAAUUAUAAAGGGUUGGGAGACAUGUAUUCUACCUACCAAACAAAAAAUAAAGUGCUAAAAUUGUGGAAGGAAAAGGGAGACAUUUGCAUAGACAAAAAAGUUGAGAAAGAAAAAGCAAAGAAAAGGAAAAAGUUGCUUCCUUAAGGACAAUAUGUUUAUCUAAGGGAAGGAGAGGAUUAUACAAUCGUUAUAGCUACAUCUUUUGAUCCAAUUCAAGAUUAGGAACUUAUUCAAGUACUAAAACACUAUAGAAAAACAAUCGAUUGGUCCAUUGAAGAUUUGACAAGAAUUCAUAUAUCCCAAUUAAUUGGGUUACUAUUGAUGAAGGUUGGUGGUAACAAGUAUUCUCAAUAAAGAUAUCAUGAUAUCUCAUGAAAUUGAAAUAGUAUAUCAUAUUAGGUGUUCCAAGGGACAUGUGAUCAUGAAAUUUAUAGCCUCAAUAAUUCCUUUAGUGGAAUUUGACUUAUGUUCCUUGGAGUUAAAGUAUGCCAAUUAAUCAUAUAAUAAGUGGAUUUGUAACUCAAGGAUUGAAAAGGUAAUCAUUAUGGGUUGAUAGCAUUAUCUUGUUAUAUUAUGGACACUAAUUCAUGAGGAGUUUACAUGCAAUAAAUAAUAGAUUAUGAACCCAAGCUUUGCUCGUUGUAAUUUCAUAAGAUAUUGUAAUGUAGUUGACUUUCUUUAGUAGAGUGUUGAGCCAACUUUAAAAUUGGAUUCUAAGAGAGCUAGUAUUUUCCUAUGGUUCCUAGUAGACCUCACUUGAACUCUUAGUUCAUUGUGGCACAUGUUUUAAGGGUAUUUUGGAUUUAUAAUUCAUAAAUGUGCAUAAAGGCAUUUUGGUAAAAGUGCAAGGGUGCACUAGAUCUUAUGAAUUGACUUUCUAUAAUGAGUUAAUUAAUUAAUUAGAUCCCAUUAGGACUAAUUAAUUAAUUAGAGCCCAUUAGGACUAAUUAAUUAACUAGAGCCUGUUGAGCUAUAAAUAGAAUAGGAGAAUUUUUUUUCCUAUUAUGUUAGUUUCCUAUUUCUGUAAAUAGAUAGGUUUAUUAGUUUCCUGUUACUGUAAAUAGAUAGUUUUAUGAUUUAUAAAUAGGUUAGUUUAGGAAUAAGUUAGUUUCCUAUUAUGUCUUUUGUUUCCUAUUUCUUUUCUUGUAAUCUCCUAUAUAAACCGUGUGUAUAGUCAAUUUAAUAGAGAGAGAACUUAUUAUUUUUCAUCCCAUAUUUCGUGUCAUGGUAUUAGAGCUGUAGGUUUUUAAGACCUGGGCAUCAUUCUGGCCUUCAUCGCCAUUUUUCUGGCCUUCAUAGUUGGAUUUUUUAUUAUUCACGUGUUCUUUUACCAACCUUUAUUGCUGUUGAUUUUUUUGUUUCACGAUCUGCCUUAAUUCCAAGAGAUCAGGUUUUUUCAUGGAAGAUGUUGGAAAAUUCAGGUACACCUUCAUUCUCUUUUUGCAUAAAUGCCUCACAUAGAGUUUAUGAUGAAUCUUGGAUAAUAGACUCCGGUGCCACAGACCAUAUGACCUCCAAAUCUCAACUUUUCAAUACCUAUACCCCAAGCCCAAGUAACAAGAAAAUUGUAGUGGCCAAUGGCUCUUUAGUUACUGUUGUAGGUUUCGGAGACAUAUACAUCACACCUACCCUUAUUCUUAAAAAUGUCCUCCAUGUACCAAAAUUGUCGGCCAACCUGUUUCCAUUCAAAAGCUUACCCAUGAUCUUAAAUGUUAUGCUAUUUUUUUCCCUUCUUAUUGUGUUCUUCAAGAAUAAGGCUUGGGGAGGAGGAUUGGACUUGCUAAGGAAAUGAGCGGUCUUUACCACCUUGAAUCAUCUCAGAAAACUAGUAAUAAUUUGUCGUUGUCUCUUCUUAGUUCCUCAAAUAAAGAUACCAUUUGGUUGUAUCACCUACGUCUAGGUCAUCCAUCUUUUAGGGUUUUAAAGGUCAUGUUUCCUCAUUUGUUCCAAGGAUUAGAUAUUUCUGAGUUUCAUUGCGAAACUUGUGAAUUGGCAAAACAUACUCGUGUAUCUUUUCCUAUUAGCAAUAAAAGAAGUUCUUAUCCUUUUCAUUUGAUUCAUAGUGACAUAUGGGGUCCUUCGACUAUACCUAAUGUUUCUAGGGCUCGUUGGUUUGUAUCCUUAAUUGAUGACUGGACUCGGGUUACAUGGAUCUUUCUUCUUAAACAAAAAUCUGAUGCUAGCAUUGUUAUACCUAAUUUCCACUCAAUGGUUCAAAACCAAUUUGGGGUUAAAAUAAAAACCUUUAGGACAGACAAUGCUAGAGAUUACUUCAACCAGAUUUUGUCACCCUAUUUUCAAUCACAGGGCAUUCUCCAUGACUCAUCAUGUGUUAACACACCCCAACAAAAUGGGGUAGCCGAGAGGAAAAAUAGGCAUUUACUCAACACAACCCGAGCUUUACUUUUUCAAGGGAAUGUUCGUAAGUCCUAUUGGGGGGAAGUUGUUCUUACUGCCACAUACAUGAUAAAUAGAAUUCCCUCACAAGUAUUAGACAACAAAAGCCCCGUCGAGAUACUUAAGAGUUUCUAUCCACACUUUAUAACCUCAAAUGGGCUCACUCCUAGGGUAUUUGGGUGCACUGCAUUUGUUCAUGUCCACAGCCAACAUAGAGACAAGCUAGACCCCCGAGCCAUAAAAUGUGUCUUCCUUGGUUACUCAUCCACUAAAAAAGGAUACAAGUGUUAUAAUCCCUCAGCUAGAAAAUUUUACAUCUCUACAGAUGUCACAUUCACAGAAAAUAAACCUUUUUUCCAUAAGUCCUCUCUUCAGGGGGAAAUGGAAGAUAGUCCUUAUGAGUCCUUUGAACCUUUUGAUCUUCCUCAUGUCUCAACCCAUGGUGAUGAAGAACCUGUGUCAUCCUCUGUUCCAGCCAGUGUCACUCAACCUCUUGAUUUUCCUCAUGUUUCAACCCAUGGUGAUGAAAAACCUGUGUCAUCAUUUGUUCCAGCCAGUGUCACUCACAAUUUUCUAUAGUUUCAUAAGGUGUAUUCAAGGGAAAAUGCCAUUCCAUAACAAAAACAGGUCCAAGAAUCCAACUCAGACCUUGGGAAUGAACUCACGGUAAGAUCAGACCCACCUUUACAUACACAACCUGGUGAAACUUCCACUGACUCAACAGACAACCUAUACCUAGACCUUCCCAUUGCUGUCAGAAAAGGCACUAGAGAAUGCACUAACCGACGACUUUAUCCACUAUCACACUAUGUGUCUCUUAAACACCUAUCACCAACCCACAAGAAUUUUAUUGUGAGUCUAAAUACCACUAUCAUUCUUAACACUGUUUCUGAGGCAUUGACAAAAAGGGAAUGGAAGGAUGCUAUGAGAGAGGAGAUGAGUGCAUUAGAAAAGAAUAAAACAUGGGAGAUUAUUGAACGACCAAAAGGGAAAAACAUUGUUGAUUGCAAGUGGAUUUUCACACUAAAAUAUAAGGUUGAUGGAUCUCUAGAGAGACAUAAAGCAAGAUUGGUAGCCAAAGGGUACACUCAAACUUAUGGAGUUGAUUAUCAGGAGACUUUUGCUCCAGUUGCAAAAAUGAAUACUGUAAGAAUCCUGUUGUCACUGGUUGGCCACUACAAUUGGCAACUCUUAUAGUAUGAUGUUAAGAAUGCAUUUCUUCAUGGUGAUUUAGAUGAAGAGAUUUACAUGAACAUCCCACUAGGAUUUGAGGAAAACACAGGUAACAAGCUGAAGAAGACUCUGUAUGGGCUAAAACAAUUUCCUAGGGCUUGGUAUGGGAGAUUUGAAAAAUUCAUGAAAGAGUCUAGGUACAAACAAAGCCAAGGUGACCACACUCUCUUCAUCAAGCACUCGGCUACAGGGGGAGUAACUGCUCUUCUAGUCUAUGUUGACGACAUCAUAGUGACUGGAAAUGAUGAGAGAGAAAAGCAUGAAGUGAAGCAGAGAUUAGCAACAGAGUUUGAGAUAAAGGAACUAGGAAAACUGAAGUACUUCCUCGGUAUUGAGGUGGCAUAUUCCACACAAGGGAUCUUCAUCUCUCAACAAAAGUAUGUGAUUGAUUUAUUGACAGAAACAAGGAAGAUUGGGUGUAAACCAGUCUCUACCCCAAUGGAUCCAAACCACAAGUUGGGAGAAGCUAAAGAGGAGCCAAUGGUGGAUAAAAGAAUGUACCAAAGGCUGGUUGUUAGACUCAUAUACCUUGCCCACACUCGGCCAGACAUCGCCUACACGGUGAGCGUGAUUAGUCAAUUCAUGCAUGAUCUAAGAGAACCUCAUUUUCAAGCUGCUUACAAGGUGCUACAUUACUUGAAAGGCAACCCUAGGAAAGGAAUUUUGUUCAAGAAGAACAAUACUCUUGCUCUAGAAGCAUACACCGAUGCUGACUAUGCAGGUUCCCUAGUGGAUUGAAGAUCAGCUACAGGGUAUUGUACUUUUCUUGGAGGAAAUCUGGUAACAUGGAGAAGUCAAAAGUAGAAUGUGGUAGCAAGAUCGUCUACAGAAUCAGAGUUUAGGGCCAUGGCUCAAGGGUUGUGUGAACUACUUUGGCUGAAGAUUAUUCUAGAUGAUUUGAGAAUCAAGUGGGAUGGUCCUAUGAAGCUCUAUUGUGACAACAAGUCAGCUAUCAAUAUUGCUCAUAACCCUAUACAACAUGAUAGGACAAAACAUAUUGAGAUUGAUAGACACAUCAAAGAAAAAUUGGAGGAAGGAGUAGUGUGUAUGUCCUAUGUUCCAUCAGAACAUCAAUUAGCUGAUAUUCUAACAAAAAGGUUAAACAGUUCAAUGCUUCACUAUCUUGUAUUCAAGCUGGGAAUGGAAGACAUCUAUUCCUCAGCUUGAGGGGGAGUGUUGAGCUAUAAAUAGAAUAGGAGAAUUUUUUUUCCUAUUAUGUUAGUUUCCUAUUUCUGUAAAUAGAUAGGUUUAUUAGUUUCCUAUUUCUAUAAAUAGAUAGUUUUAUGACUUAGAAAUAGGUUAGUUUAGGAAUAAGUUAGUUUCCUAUUAUGUCUCUUGUUUCUUAUUUCUUCUCUUGUAAUCUCCUAUAUAAACCGUGUGUAUAGUCAAUCUAAUAGAGAGAAAACUUAUUAUUUUUCAUUCCUGAUUUCGUGUCAGAGCCCAUUAAGACUAAUUAAUUAAUUAGAGCCCAUUAGGACUAAUUAAUUAAUUAGGACCUAAGUGGGUUGGAUUAGGUGUCCUAAGCCCAAUUUGGGUACAAGUCACUUAAGCCUACAAUAAAGCCUAUAUAAAACUCCUUAGAAGUCAGGGCUUCAAUCUUGCAAUUUAGUUUUCUGAAAUUCUAAAAAGAAUAACCCCUUUAGAGAGAGAAAAAGAAGUUCACCAUUCUUUUGUGCCAAGAUCCAUGGAGGAAGAGAUUGGGUGGAAGAUCAUUAGGUAGACGAGAUCCAUGACAACUAUCGUAGUUUCAAAGUCUUCAUUGGAUGGAAAUCGAUCUAAGAACAUUUAGAUCAUAAUUAUGAACUUUAAUCUUUAGAUCUAAUAUGUUUUAUGGUUUUUAAACCUUUAUUUUUUGUUAAGUUAGAUUUAGAGAAACCUAAGAUAGUUUGCAUGCACCCUACAUAAUUUUAGGGCUAGAAUCGAAGUAAUCUGGAGUUUGUAGUAGGCAUAAUAGCAAUCAAGAAUGAAAGAGGAGAAGCACCCACCAAACUUACCAUAGAAUAAAGGAUACGUAUUGAUUAUCGUAAACUAAAUGCAAUAACCAAAACAAAUCAUUUGUCAUUGCCAUUUCUUAACCAAUUGCAAGAUGUCCUUAUUUUUAUUUCUUGAAUGGUUAUUUAGAAUAUUUUUAGAUACCACUUGCACUAGAAGACAAGAAAAAGACAACUUUUACCUAUCCAUUUGGUACAUUUGCAUAUAAAAUGUUAUUUAGAUUAUGUAAUAUGCCUGCCAUAUUCCAGUGAUGCAUGAUGAACAUAUUCUAAGAGUUUUUGGAAAAAGAAAUUGCAGUGUUUAUGGAUGACAUAAUUGUGUUUAGAUCUUCAUUUGAAGCAUGUUUGGAGAAUUUAAAGAAAAUAUUGAAUAAAUAUAUUAAGAAAGGACUAGUGUUAAAUUAGGAAAAAGUCUAUUUCAUGGUAAAAAAUGGGAUUUUCUUAGGCCAUGUGAUAUAAAAAAAAAAUGGUAUUGAAGUUUAUAAAGCUAAAAUUGAGCUAAUAUUUAAAUUGCCAAGACCAACUACAAUUAAAGAAUUACAAUAAUUUAUGGCCUAUGUUGGGUUUUAUAAAAGAUUUAUCAAAGACUUCUCAAGAACUUCUUAGUCCCUGUGCAAUCUAUUAUUGAAGGAUGUCGAGUUCAUAUCGAUAGAAAAAUGCAAACUAGUGUUUGAAAAGCUAGAAAAGCAAACUUACCUCUACAUUAAUAGUAAGAUCCCCAAAUUGGAAUCUACCAUUUGAACUACCAUGCGAUACUAAUGAUUAUGCAAUUUGAGUUGUCCUUGGUUAAAGAUAAGAGAGUAAAUCGUAUGAGAUCCACUUUGCUAGCAAGAUGCUUAAUGAUACACAAAGGAACUAUUAACCACUAAAAAGGAGUUGGUAACAAUAGUGUGUGCACUCAAUAAGUUCUGAUAUUACCUUAUUGGAAGCAAAAUAGUGGUAUUCAAAUACCAUUCUAUGUUGAAGUAUCUUUUGGGAAAGAAGGAAGCCAAAACUAAGCUUAGUCGUUGGAUAUUGCUCUUAUAAGAUUUCCAAUUGAAAUCAAAGAAAAGAAAGGAGUAGAAAAUGCAGUAGCUAGCCACAUAUUUGGGAUUGUGAUUGAAAAUAAAGAAAAGAUAGAUGAUGAUUUUCUUGAUAAAGCUCUGGCCAUGACAAGGAAACUACCAUGGUAUGUAGACAUAGUGAAUUACCUUAGCUAGUUUUUAGUGGAUUGGAUUGUACAAGACAAGAGAUUCUUCCUAUGUAAAGUAAAGAACUACAUGUGGAAGGAACCUUUCUUAUUCAAAUAUUACCCUAAUCAAAUUAUCAGAAGAUGUAUCCAAAAAGAAAAGACAAAAAAUAUGUUGAACAUGAGCUAUGGUGAUGCAUGUGGAGGACACUUUACUUGUAAGAAAACUACUAAAAAGGUUCUACAUUAAGGUCUCUAAUGGAACACUCUUAUGAAAGAAGCUUAGGAGUACACUAAGAGAUGUGAAAAAUGCCAACAUUCAAGAACAAUUAACAAGAGAUGGUCAAUGCCAUUGCAUAACAUCUUGGUUAUGAAGAUAUUUGACUGUUGGAGUGUAGAUUUUAUGGGUCCAUUUCCAUGUUCAUUUAACUUUCAUUACAUUCUAGUGGGGGUUGAUUAUGUAUCAAAAUGAUAGAGCCUAUUCCAGCAAAACAAAUGACCAUAAAGAAGUGUUCAAAUUACUAAGGCAUAGUAUAUUAUCUCAUUUUAGUGUUCCUAGGUUUUUGAUAAGUGGGGGUAAAUACUUUUCUAAUGGGGCCAUUGUAUCAAAAUAUGCACUUAGACAAGUAAUGAAACCUUUAUCAUAUUUUUACCUAGAUGAUGUGAGGAAUUUCUAUGCUAUGUUAACUAGAGAUAAGGAGAUCAGUAAUCAUUUAAACUUCACAGUUUUAGGCAAAUCACAUAAUCAUUAAUGAGGCUUCCUUAUCUAUUACAUUUGGACUUUUUGUUAGCAUGCCUACCAAUAGAGGAUUUUUUUUUUUUUUUUAAGUCAACUAAUUUUAUAACUAUGGCAACUACACCAUGUACUGAGGGUAUUAGUUCACAUAUGGUAGUUUGUAAGUUAGAGAUUCAUCUAGAUUGUUGGUUCAUUGAUUAGGUUUUCAAGAUCAUUUAUCUUCUUACUGGCAUGUUACAUAAUGCUAAGAUUUACCAUUACAGGCUAUCUAUUAUGUGUUCACUAGGCGAUUAUGGUCACUAGUUCACUUGAUUAUGGACACCCUGCUAUGCUUUAUUUAUGAAGUAAAGGAAAAGAAAACUAAAUCCAACUAGUGAUACCCAUUGGUACUUCGUAAUUUUUUUACAACUUAUUUGAUAAAAACGGGAUUCAAAUUUUUAGCUAGAGAGGAAAAGUUAGGGGAUGAUUUUCUUAUGAACUGGUUGAGUAUUGACAAAUAUCAAUAUACAAGGAGUCCAGUAUGGGGUAGAGUAAAAAGAAUCACACUUGAUCUAUGUUACAAUUAGAUAGUAAGGGUCGAUUUGUGAUGACUCCACCACUAGCUAGUGGUCUAAUUUCAUCUAUACCAGAUGCUUCAACUUCUCCUAUUCAUGUUGACACACAACCAACAUCCCUUACAUCUCUUCUAGUAUAGUUGUUACCUUUAAUCACAACACUAAAUUUCACCAUAGUCUCAUCAACAACCACUUUCUCCUUUGUCACUUUGAUGCAAACUUCAUUAUAUAUGAUUCCUUACAAAUAUGUUAUUAUGUGGAAGUUAGACUUACCUAUUCUGGCCAUGGAUCACAUUUUUUCUUUAGUACCUCCUACGGAUGCUAGACCUUUUAGGGAACCACAUUCUAAUAUUCCUAUGACUUUGGUGGCAAGCUUUACUCUAACUGUUUUAGCUUUGACAGAUUCCAUUUUGAUAGACUUAGAUCCCACCAAGUGUACUCAUGUUGCUCUUUUUGUUGAGUCAAACGAUACUAUACUGGCAAUCAUAGUAGUUAGGUGAUUGACAUAGCUCCUAUGGAUGUUUCUCUGAUAGUAGGUGAUGUUGAUACUAUUGGAAUAUAUAUAUAUAUAGGUGAAUAGAAAUUAGAACACAUUUAUUUUUCUUUUGGAAGAAAUUUUGUUUAUUAAUAAACAUAAUUUGUUUCAAAUGAUGUGUCUAGUUUUUUAAAGAUACAACAUUUUCCAAAGGAUAUGUCUAGUGUUUUAAGACACAUAUCUUCUAAUAGUCACCAACAAAAUCAAUAAAUAAGGGCCCCCCUUAUAUUUUCAAAUUCAUUCUCUUAUUCAUCUAUUCUUUCAACUUUUUCUCCUUUCUAGUCUCUUAAACUUUCAAGUCCUUCUUAGCUUCAAGUUUAGUUUUUUUUUUCUUCUAAGUAUUUUUUUGGUAUUCAAGAGAGUAUAAAUCACCUAGUGAUUCGUUUUUUCUUAUAAUUUAGAGUGCUACUAUCAUAAGAAAGUGAUCAUUAUAUCCUGGGAGACAAUCACCUAUGCUAUAAGCACUUAAGUAGGGGGGAAUUUGUCUUAAAGGAUAUAGAGUCAAAAUCUAGCCUUGAUCAACCCCAAAAGACAUCUAGUUAAUAAUUGGGACAACAAACUUAAGAAAAAUUUUCUUUAGUAGCUAACUGUAUUACAAUUGAUUUUUAGUGAAGAUGACUUCUACAUCUUUUAUACUUCCUACUAUUGCACAUAGUGAGAAACUUGAGAAGUUCACUAGGAUGAACUUCAAGAGGUGACAAAAAAAAAAUGUUGUUCUACCUUGCAGUUUUGAAUUUUGCUCGAGUCCUAUAUUAGGAUGCCUCUAUGUUAAGCGAUAGUGAAAUGGAUAAACAAGUGUAGGCAAUUGUGGAAGCUUGGAAUCAUUCUGACUUUUUAUGUAACAACUACAUCCUUAAUAGUUUGGCAACUAUACAAUGUGUAUAAUCUAAUAAGAACUAAUAAGGAACUAUGGGAGUUCUUGGAGAAAAAAAUACAAGAUAGUGGAUGUUGGCUUGAAAACAGUUGUUGUCAACAAAUUUCUAGAAUUCAAAAUGAUAGACUCUAAGGUAGUUAUGAGUUAAGUCUAAGAACUAAAAAUCAUUCUCCAUGAGAUACAUGUAGAAAAGAUGGUGUUGAGCGAGUCUUUCCAAGUUGCAGCUAUAAUUGAAAACUUACCACUAUCUUGAAAAGAUUUUAAAAAUUACUUGAAGUAUAAGCACAAGGAAAUGAGACUUAAAGACUUGAUUGUGAGAUUGAAUAUUGAAGAAGACAAUUGAGUUUUUGACAAUAAGUCAACAAAAACUUCCUAUAUAGUCCAAUGAAAACUUGGUAGAGCAAAAAUCUAGCAAGAAAAGGAAGUACUCUAGUGAAAGUCCUAAUAAAAAGAAUGAUAAGUUCAAAAAAUUCAAUGAAAAAUGCUACGUAGUCAACAAACAAGGCCAUUGAGCUAAGGAUUAUUGCUCCAAAGGACAUGAUAAGAAAAAUCAAGUACAUGUGACCAAAUAAGAGAAAUUGGCAACUAAUGUGCUAGAUCUUAUGCUUUUGUUAUUGUGUUUGAAGCCAAUAUGGUGGAUAACCAAGGAAUGGUGGAUAAAAAUAGGACAUGCUCGUCAUUUAUGUUCAGAUAGAAAGAUGUUGUUUUCUUAUGUACAAAUAAAUGAAAGGGAGCUAUACAUGGGUAAUUCAGUUACUUCCAAAAUUAAAGGCAUAGAAAAGAUGAUACUAAAGCCAAUAUCUACAAAAAAAAUUAGUGUUUAGCUCAUUAUUGAGUAAGAAUUGGUUUAAAAUGGUUUUUGAAUCCAAUAAGUUUGUACGUGCCAAAAAUAGGGUGUAUGUGGGCAAAAUGUAACUUGCAAAUCGACUUUUAAAAUGAAUGUAAUGACUAUCCUGCUAGAUUUCAAGAAUAAUAAAACUAGUUCUUUUGUUUAUUUGCUUGAGUAAUUUAAUUUGUGGCAUGACAGAUUAGGACAUGUGAAUUUUAAUUCUUUGUGCAAAUUGAGAAAUUUAAAUUUCUUGUGUAACUUUCACAUUGAUCCUAAUUAUAAGUGUGGGACAUGUGUAGAGGCUAAGCUAGUUAAAAUACCUUUUCAUUCUAUUGAAAGGAACACUAAGCCUUUGGAAUUAAUUCACAGUAAUAUAUGUGAUUUAAAGUUUGUGUAAACUAGAGGAGAGAAAAAAUAUUUCAUCACUUUCAUUGAUGGUUGCACAAUAUACAGUUAUGUGUAUUUGCUAAGAAGCAAAGAUGAAGCCUUGGGAAUGUUUAAACACUAUAAGAAUGAGGUUGAAAAUCAACUUAGCAAGAAGAUAAAGAUAAUAAGAAGCAAUAGAAGUGGAGAAUAUGAAUCACCUUUUGAUGAGUUCUAUUUAGAACAUGGUAUUAUUCAUCAAACCAUUGGUCCUUAUUCACAUCAAUCAAAUGGUAUUGUUGAACACAAAAACCAAAUAUUAAAGGAAAUGAUGAAUGCUAUGUUGAUAAAUUUUGGUUUACCCUAAAAUUUUUAGGGAGAAACAAUUCUCUUUACAAACCAAAUUUUGAAGAAAAUACCGCACAAGAAAAAUGAUGUAACUCCAUAUGAAUUAUGGAAAUAACGAAAAACAUCUUAUAAAUAUUUGAAAGUGUGGGGGUGUUUAGCUAAAGUAUUUGUUUUAACCCUAAUAUGGUUAAGAUAAGGCCUAAAACAAUUGACUGUGCUUUUAUUGGUUAUGUUAGGAUAUUAAGUUUUGUUUAUAUGUUGGCAAUUUUGUUCCAAUUUAUGUUUGGCCAUAUAAGUCUUUUGAGAUAGUGACUUGCUUUCCAUUGAAGAUCAAGGGUUGUUGUUUAUCUAACCGAGAAGUCAUAGGUACGUUUAAAAAGGUUUGACUUGUGGUAUAUAAGGCUUAUUUGAGGUAUAAAAAGUUUGGUAUCAUUUUUUGGACUUCAAAUAUUUUUAAAAUGAUUUUUCAAAAAGUAGGGGCCGCUCAAGUGGUUAAUCCCGUUUGAGUAGUUAACCCGGACAAGCUACAUGGAAUGCUUAAGUAGAGCGCUCAAGCAGUCAAGUCUGCUCAAGUAGUCUUGAUAGUCUUGCCAAGUUUAGAAAUGUUUUUUUUUUGAAUGAAUUUUACUGAAGCUCUAAUUUAGAAACUUAAGAUACUAAAACUCUUAUGGGUUUUUUUUCCUAUAAAUAUCUUUCUUGUAACCUCUUGAAGGUUAGAGAUUCAGGCUAAGAUGUUAGAGAUCAUAGAUAUCUAAGAGUUUAAAGACCUUUUAUUCUUUAGAGAGACUUCUUGAGAGAAAGCCUUUUUGCCACACCAUUCUCGAUCUCUCAUUCAAGGAUUUGAUUAUUUGAAUUGUGGUUCGUAGGGACUGAAGGAUCUAUUAGGGAGCAAGAGUUGUUGCAUCGUAGAUGUGGAUCACAUUGUACGUACUAAAGAGUAAGUCUUAAGGAUAAAAUGACCAGGUAAAUCUUCAAAACUUGAUUUCAUCGAAUUAUGGAUUUAGAUUGGUAGGUCUUAGACCUCGUGGAUUUUUAUCUCCACAAGUUUGUCGGGGUUUCCACAUAAAAUUUUUGUGUUUCAUUGUCUAUAUAUUUUAUAUUUGAUAUUAUGUUUGAAUUGCCUAACAUAGGUCAAAUUGAUUAAUCCUAAUAUAUUGUAGGGUUUUCUUAAAAAUACCUAUUUAUUCUUGCUUAUAUUUUGGUCGAUGACAUUGAUAAUCUUGAAUUGAUUAUUAAGAUUGUUGGAUGGGUUGUGGUGGUUAUACCUAUAACCAAUUAUUGAUUAAUUUGUUGGGAUUAUUGUUGAAUUUGUUAGGUUAGUUAUUUUGGUGGUUAUUAUUAUUAUUAUCCCUAACAUAUCUCAACAUAUAUCGUUAAUAUUUGGAUAUCAAUUAACCAUAAAAGUUAGUUUUUUUAUUUGGGGCAAAAUCUUGAGAUAAAGUUAAGACAUAUUUUAUAAAUAUUGUUUUAAAAUUUAAAAUCACCCAUUCAUCCCCUCUCUGGGUGUUCCCUAUUAGACUUUUGACUAUUAUUGAAGUGGUAUUUAGAGCAAUACCCAUUUUUCAGGUUAUGCCAAUAAUAUUAGUGCAUAUUGGUUCCUUGCAUAUAAAUCAGACAUUCCUGAUAUUCAUGAAAAUACAAUCAUUGAGUCAAGAAAUGCCUCAUUUUUUUAGAACACAUUUCCUGUAAAAGUAUACUUAAGAAAAAUUCUCAUAAAUCACUACAAAAAAAUUAAGUAUAAUCAACAUUCUUAGAUAUACUUUUACGAUGGAUUUAAACUAUCGUAAAUUUCUAACAAACCUACUCUGUCGCAAAUUGAAUUGUCCGUUACUUAUAUGUAACUAUUUAUUGAUAGUAAUUGCAACAAUAAAUACCCAUUGAAAAAAAUAUAAUUGUGAUGGAUUUAAGCCAUUGCAAAUGUUUAGUUAAUAUACUUUGUCACAAAAGCAAUUUAUUUGUUAAAAAAAAUGAAUUUUCAUAAAUAAUUUUUCAAUAAAAAUUACUACUCAAUAAAAUAGUGUUAUUAUAGUGAAUAAUAAUAUCUCACAUAAUUUUUUCUAAAAGCAAUUGUUCUAUUAUGAAUAUGAAAUAUUUUCACCAUAGUUUUAUGAUAAAUAUGAUCUAACUAGUGACAAAACAAUUUUAUGAUUAUUUUAUUAGUUUCAUACAAUAUUUAUAGAGAACAUAUAUUUUUAAUCAUGAUAGUUUUAACAUCUUAAUAUUUUUUUACUACUUUUUUCUUGUCCAUUUUAGAAAGAAAUUAAUGAAAUAUUCUUAAAAUAUAUAUGAUAUAAAAAUUAAUAAUAGAAAAUUUGAUGUUGUUUUAUUAAAGAAAUUGAGAUAUGUAUGAUAUAAUUUGUGACAUCCAAUAAUAAUAUUUAAAAUUUAAAAUGACAUUUUAUAGAGAUUUAUCUAAUUUUAAUGUGUUCAACAUCAUAAAAGAAAUGAUGAUACAUGUAUAAGUAUUUUUUAUUUUAAAAUGUUGAUAAUUUUAUUUAUAAAUUAUGUUUAUUUCUUAUUUAAUUAUUAUAAAAAAUACACAAGAAUUAAAAUUAAUUAAUUUAUAAUAUCUAUAUAUAUAUAUGUGUGUGUGUGUGUGUGUGUGUGUGUGUGUGUGUGUGUAUGUGUGUAUUUAAGAUUAUUUUAUAUCCGUAUAAUACUUUGAUUAUGGAUGUUUAAUAAACAAAUUUAUUACUUAAAUUAAUGAAAAUUAAUAUUAGUUAACAUUAAUGACAAUAAACAUUAAUUACAACUGAUGAGGGUAGAUAUGACAAUUUGAUAACUUAAAAUAAAUUUUAGUUUAAUUUUAUCAAACACCUUAAUACUUAAAGUAAAAAAUAAGUAAAAUAUUUUAAAUUAAUAAUUUAACUUAAAGUCAAUUUAAGUUAUUAAGUAAUAAGUAUUAAAUUUUACUAAACAUCCUCUUAGUGUCAUAUUUGAUUUUGAAAAUUUAGGUUCAUAUCAUCAUCAUCAUCAUCGUCGUGUUUAAGUAAAAAAAUUUAAAUUAAUAAUUUAACUUAAAGUCAAUUUAAGUUAUUAAGUAAUAAGUAUUAAAUUUUACCAAACAUCCUCUUAGUAUCAUAUUUGAUUUUGAAAAUUUAGGUUCAUCAUCAUCAUCAUCAUCUAUUAGAAACAUUUUGGGUAUAAUAACAUACUUGACAACAAUUAUAUACUAACUUUUAGGUGUUUGGUUAAAUUAUGCAAUUUUGUUUUGGGUCCAUUAUAUGGAAUUGGAUGCCUGCAUAAUUAUCCCAAAAAUAAAUCUAAAAGUUUUCAACCCUGUCCUCUACAAUGGGCCAAAAGUAAAGGUCUAGGUUAAAGUCCAAUCUCUUUUGGGAUUAGGAUUAGGACUGGUUUUAGGCCAACUUUGGGCUAGUAAUUACUAUUAAUUACUUUGACAAGUAAAUAGUCAAGUCAAUGAAAAAAAAUAUGUUGUGGAUCCAUAAGAAUUGAAGGGAGGUCCUCAAGUAGAUCGUAAAAAAAUAAAAUAAAAAUAAAAAAAUAAAAAAAUAAAAAAAUCCUCCUCUACCCUCUCAAGUAAAUGGUAAUAUUUUCAUCCUAAUAAUUUGACAUCUAUGACAUCCUCGUUUUAUUGCAUUAUACAAAAUAAAAAUAGGAUUAAUAACAUAAAAAAUGUAAAACUACAAAUUUAAAAUAAAAAUAAAUUAUAACAUUUAAUUUCACUAUUUAUUUUUUGUGUUUUCUUUUUUCCAUUUUCAAGUUUAUUCUUCUAUGUUCUUUUAUAUUUGAUUUAUAACAUUUUUAGUUAAGAAAAUAGAUAUUGAUGGACUUGCAAUUAAUAGUUCUGUAUCCCUUAUGAUAACUUAGUUAUUUUCAUUUGUUUUUCUCUUAUUGUAAUUUUAGAAUAAAAAAUAAAUUUCCAUUUUUCCUUAUGUUGUUUAUUUAUAGGAGUGGCAAUGGGGCGUGUUCAAGACGGGUCACCCCCAUCCCAACCCCGCCCUAUUUAUUCAAAAUAAUUCUCAUCCUCGUUCCAUAAAAAAAAUUAAAUGGAGCAACACGGGUAUGAGAAAUUCUCAUACUUGCCUUAUUUAAACUUUUUUUAUAAAAUUUAAAUUCUUUAAUUACAUUAAAAUAAAUAUAUUUUAUAAAAAUUAAAUAAUUAUAUUUUUAUAACUUAUUUUAUUGAAAAAAAAGUAUUAUUAUUAUUAUCUAUGUAUUAAAAAUAGGAAAAUAAAAAUUAAAUUAAAUUAAUUUUUAAAAUUAAUUUAUAUGUAAUCUAAGGUGGGGUGGGACGAGACAAAACAAUACUCGAAUUUGCCUUGAACUCGUCGUGGGUUUAAAAAAAAUCCUAAACCUAUCCCAUUUAUUUAAAUUUCAAACCCGUCCUAUUAGGGGCAGGUACCUGAAAAAACCCACCUUCUUGUCAUUGCUGCCUAAGUUCUAAUAUUUUAGUUAACUAGCAAAAGUACCUUGUACAUACACUUCUAUAUAUAUAUUUAAUGUAAAAUUUUGGUUUGACCUAUAUACCUUAAAGAUUUUUAGUUUAUGCUAAGAAGUAGAAGGCAUUCAUUAAACCCACUAUUAAUAUUUCAAAUAAUAAUAAUAAUAGUAAUAAAAUAUAUGGAAAUUUAAAAAUAUUUAUUAAAAAAUUUAAAUUAUUAAUUAUGUCUUAAUUUAUAAUUUAUUUAAUUAGUGAAAAAAUUUAGAAAAUAUAGUUGUACGUAUAGAAAAAAUAGUAAAGUUAUGAUUUAUAAUAUAUAAGUUUUGAUCUAUUUUUUUUUAGUGAUUAAAUCUAUUUUUUGAGUUUCAAAUGAUUUUUAAAAAUUAAUAAAUUCAAUAUAAAGUGUCACUUAAUUAGAAGUUUAUUUUUAUAGUUAGAAAAUUUAUAAAAAUAUAAUUAUGUGCAGAAAAGAAAUAACAUAGUCAUUAUAAACCAAUUUUUAUCCAUAAUUUUUUUGUAUUAAUAAGUUUAUUAUUUUAAUUUUCAAAUUAUUUUUAAAAAAUAAUGAAAUUCAUCAAUGAAUCUAACACAUUAAGUCUUGUUUAAUUUAGAGUUUAUUUAACUAGUAAAAAAAAAUUGGAAAAACAAUGAUUCUGUGUAGAAGAGAAAUUAUAUAGUUGUUCUAUACCAAUUUGUGUUCAUAAAUUUAUGAUAUUAAUUGGAUUAUUAUUUGAAUUUUAGGUUACUUUUAAAAAUGACUAGAUUUGUUAAUGAAUUCAAUGUUUUAAGUUUUGUUUAAUUUAGAAUUUGUUUCCUUAGUGAAGAAAUUGAAAAAUAAUAAUUCUAUGUAAAAAAGAAAUAAUAGAGCUAAUAUAUAUCAAUUCUUGCCCAUAAAUGCUGAUAUUGAUUUGAUCACUAUUUGAGUUUUAAGUUAUUUUUAAAAUUACUAGACUCGUAAGUGAAACUAAUGCAUUAAGUCUUACUUGUGGCAAAAUAAUGUUAUGAGUUUUUUAAAAAUGUAUUCCUUUUAAACAUAGAAAACUAUUUUUUAAUCAUGCGACCAAACAUGCUUUUAAUUUUAUUUUAAAUUGUGAUUACAUUUUAAAAUUAAUAUGUUUCUAUUUAUUGAUUAUAAGUUAUAACUAAUACAUUGUUUAUUGAAUUCUAAAUGCUUAAAACACAAAAAAAAAAUGUCAUUUGAUUAUUUAUUUAUUUAUUUAUUUAUUGUCUAAUCCAAUUAUAUGUCAACUCAUACCACUUCAAUACUAACCUUUUUAUUAGAGAAAUUACAAAAAAUUCAUUUUAGUAAAAGAUUAUGAAAUUCAAGUGAUUCCUUUUUCUAAAUUAUAAAGGGAAAAAACUUAGAAUUGGAAAAUCUAAGAAAAAACUAAAAGAUAUCCUAAAUAUGAAUGGACGAAGACAAGGUGAGGAAACUAAGAGAUUACAUAUCUUAUGUCAUCUUGCUCAAUUUUGGGAAAUUUGACAACUUGAGUAUCAUAUGUGAAAGAUGAUUUGCUGAGUCAUUAUGAUGCUUUCAUGAAUUCUAUUACAUGUUUUUCAUUUUUUUUAAAAAUUUAUUUAUUUUCUAGGGACUAGCAAAGUUCAAAUUGAGGGGGAUGAUUGGAGCCAAAAUAUGUAUUCUAAUAGCACAUGUAUGAUAUGAUUUAUGCAAUAUAAAAGGCUUAACCUCUCUAAAUGAACUUGAAUUGGUUUUAAGGGCCUAGUUAUGGAUCUAACAUAUAUUUUGAACUUAAUCUUGGGUUGAAAGGAUUAAAAGAAUGCAAGUUGCAAGAAUUGUUAAUUUCUAACUAGAAUAAAGGGGCUAAUUAGGCAUAAAUGAGAAACUUAAUUUUUGAGAAACAUGAAGAAACCAGGUAAGUGUAAAAUGAGUGAGUUAUGGGAAUGAAAUAUGGAAAAUGAAUGUCAUGAAAUGAGAUAGAUGGUGAGCAACCAUAAUGGAGCAAGUUUGAAGCAAAUGCAAUUGAAUUCACAUGGAAAAUUUGGAACUUAAACUCUGGCAACAACACAUAACCUAACUUUGAAAUAAUUUCUGAAACCUUUUCAAUGCUUUCUAUUUUAUUUUAUUUUAUAUAUAUAUAGCAAAAUACAUAUGAUUUCAAAGAUUGAGAAGUCAACAAUCCAACGAUUCAAAAAGUUUACAUAUUAGAGCUAAACUAAAAAAGAUAUGAGCAUUUGAAGCAAACUAGAUAGAGAAGGAUGGUGAGUUCAAAAUUGAAUAGCUGAGUUAAAAAUGGUUUUUAGUCAUCUAGAACUCAAGGGAAUGAAAGGAUACUUUUAGUGGAGGCUAAGUUUGAAUCCCUUUAUAUAUUUUGAAUAAGAGAGACCUAUUCCAAACUCCAAAACAUGGCGAAUUAGCAUGGAUAGUGGGUGAGUUUGAAAUUAGUUGGAAAUUUCAAACUCUCCCUUUCAUUUUGAGCUCGUUUAAUUUUGACACUUAUGAAUUUAAAAUUGAUUUUGGACUCACUACAAUUUUGAAUUCAUCUAUUGGUGAUCAUGUUUUGAACCCUUAAAUACAGUAAAAUGAGUUUCAAAUUCCUCUAUCCAAUUUGAAAUAUAAUACUUAUUUAGAACUCAUAAUAUUUAGUUUUUUGGAUUAUUUAUGCCUUUUCUUUGGAAUCAGUGGCUAAUGGAAGUGUACCACAUGUUAGGUUAUUGAAUUUUCUAUAUAAACUCUCUUAGUUCUAGGGUUUAGGAGAGGAGAAAAGUUUGAAGUUUUUGGUGGAAGAAGACAAUAGGUAUGGUUUGUUUCCUAAUUCGCUUUGGCUUAAUACAAUUUUCAAUUUCCUUUGAUUCAAUACUUGUCUUUUUACUCCAUUAUGGAUUAUUUAUGUGACAUCAUUCCCAUGAAAGGCUAAAAGGUCAUCCUAGGGCAUGAAGCAUGAAAACCUAAGAGAUAGAAACUUAGAAGAAUAAUGGAUAAAUAAUUAAAACAAUGAGAUUAAUGAAUGGUUUGAGCUACAAUUUAUGAAUAUUUAGUUCUCUCCAUGUUAGUUUGAUUAGGGUAUGAUAUGAUAUAGUAUUACCCAAUAGUGAUUCUUAGCAAUCUUUGAUAAUUAGUUAUCCCGUUUUUCCCUAUCAUUAUCUAACUAAAGACAAAGCUACAAGGAGUAGAAAAUGUUAAAAGACUAAGAUGGUGUUUGUUUGUUCAUUUUUUUUACUCAAAUCUAAAUAGAACUUAAUUUAACUUAAUUAUAAAUACAACUUAAUUGUAUUAAGUAGUAAGUUGUUUAGUUUUUAUAUUCCAAAAGUCAACAUCUUAAUAUAUUAAGAAAAUUAAUUUUUAUAUUAAUUCUUAUUUGAUCAAAAAGUAAUUUAACAUAUUUCUAUAAAUCUUAGAAUAUAUUCUUUUAAAGCUAAUCAUUUGAAAGAGAGAGAGAGAGAGAGAGAGAGAGAGAGAGAGAGAGAGAGAGUAGAUUGAUAAAACCUAAAUCAAAUUCAAGAAAAAAGUAAUAAUUCAAUUACAUAUUUUCAAAAAUCCAAAGACUUCACAUUUUAUGCUAAUAUCCAAAAUAUAAAUCACAUUUCUUACAAUGGUAAAAGCUACAAAAUGACAAGUUAUUAAAUACUUGAAAGAGUUCAUUUGCAAUUUGAUAUGGAAUUUGUUACAUGAAUACUUGAUUAGAUGCUAUAAAAAAGCUACACAUAGUUGAGGUUUGAUUUGAAUUUUCACUUUCCAAUUCAACUGACUCAUGCCCAAUUGGUGUCUCAGCUGAUUUGUGUUCAGCUGGUGCUCCUUGAUUGAGGAAGUGAUCAACAAAAUUUAUACCUAUAACACCAUACACUAGGGUAGCAAAUACAAAGCUACUAUAGUAUAGUGGCUCUAAGGAUCGUUCACUGGGAAUGAUUUGCAAGCAAUCAAGGAUACCAAUUCCAAGUGAAUUGGUUUUGUUUCAUUUCACGGUUAGUUUAAGAAAUAAAACACAAACUUUGAUUGGUAAAGGUUGAGAUUUAAACUAACUAACUUAACAGAAGUUUGGAAUAAUUUAGGAAGAAAAGCAUUCCUUGGAGAUUUAGGUUCACUGGGGUGGUUCCUCAUGCNNNNNNNNNNNNNNNNNNNNNNNNNNNNNNNNNNNNNNNNNNNNNNNNNNNNNNNNNNNNNNNNNNNNNNNNNNNNNNNNNNNNNNNNNNNNNNNNNNNNNNNNNNNNNNNNNNNNNNNNNNNNNNNNNNNNNNNNNNNNNNNNNNNNNNNNNNNNNNNNNNNNNNNNNNNNNNNNNNNNNNNNNNNNNNNNNNNNNNNNNNNNNNNNNNNNNNNNNNNNNNNNNNNNNNNNNNNNNNNNNNNNNNNNNNNNNNNNNNNNNNNNNNNNNNNNNNNNNNNNNNNNNNNNNNNNNNNNNNNNNNNNNNNNNNNNNNNNNNNNNNNNNNNNNNNNNNNNNNNNNNNNNNNNNNNNNNNNNNNNNNNNNNNNNNNNNNNNNNNNNNNNNNNNNNNNNNNNNNNNNNNNNNNNNNNNNNNNNNNNNNNNNNNNNNNNNNNNNNNNNNNNNNNNNNNNNNNNNNNNNNNNNNNNNNNNNNNNNNNNNNNNNNNNNNNNNNNNNNNNNNNNNNNNNNNNNNNNNNNNNNNNNNNNNNNNNNNNNNNNNNNNNNNNNNNNNNNNNNNNNNNNNNNNNNNNNNNNNNNNNNNNNNNNNNNNNNNNNNNNNNNNNNNNNNNNNNNNNNNNNNNNNNNNNNNNNNNNNNNNNNNNNNNNNNNNNNNNNNNNNNNNNNNNNNNNNNNNNNNNNNNNNNNNNNNNNNNNNNNNNNNNNNNNNNNNNNNNNNNNNNNNNNNNNNNNNNNNNNNNNNNNNNNNNNNNNNNNNNNNNNNNNNNNNNNNNNNNNNNNNNNNNNNNNNNNNNNNNNNNNNNNNNNNNNNNNNNNNNNNNNNNNNNNNNNNNNNNNNNNNNNNNNNNNNNNNNNNNNNNNNNNNNNNNNNNNNNNNNNNNNNNNNNNNNNNNNNNNNNNNNNNNNNNNNNNNNNNNNNNNNNNNNNNNNNNNNNNNNNNNNNNNNNNNNNNNNNNNNNNNNNNNNNNNNNNNNNNNNNNNNNNNNNNNNNNNNNNNNNNNNNNNNNNNNNNNNNNNNNNNNNNNNNNNNNNNNNNNNNNNNNNNNNNNNNNNNNNNNNNNNNNNNNNNNNNNNNNNNNNNNNNNNNNNNNNNNNNNNNNNNNNNNNNNNNNNNNNNNNNNNNNNNNNNNNNNNNNNNNNNNNNNUCGCGGCAUGGUUCGUGCAUCGUCAGAAGGAGAAACACUUACUGUACAAAAGUGUUGCGAAAUUCUCGCAACAAAAUGCUGAUUCCGCAACACUUUAGAGUGAUUGACUUGUAAUGGCUGCAACUUCUUCGUUUCAACUCCGAAUCACGCACCGUUUGAAGCAUUGGAUUGUUGACUUCGUGAGCUUUGAAAUGGUAUAUAGCUUGCAUCAUUUGGACUUCAGAAAGUGCUCCAAAAGUGGCUGCUACGACUGUCAUCAAGAAUAUGCUCCAUGACAGAUUCUCUUUGCUUUUUCUCCUUGCAAUCCGGAUUCACUCUUGGCAAUUGAAUUCUAAGCUUUGCCCAAGAUUCCUCAUAGCUCUCCUCAUUCUUGACUUGCUUUGGUGAUCAAAAUACUAACAAAAACACCAAAACUUACACAAAGUGAUCAAAAUUGCUUUAAAGGAUCCUUAACAUGUCAAUUGAGUUAAAAGGCCUAAACUACUACUCAAAAGUGUUAAAAAGGAUUAAUUAAAGGCUAUCAAAUAGCACUUUUUGAGUAGUAAUCAUCAACCACUUCAUUGUUAGAUUCAUAAAAUAAUCUAUCAACAAUUGAAAUUUUUCGAAGAAAAUUGUCAAUGGAAAAACAUGCCAUGAUGAUUUUUGUUUGAGGAAUAAAUGAAUAUGGUGCCAUUCUCCUCAAUAUUGGGAAGUAUGCCUUAAGAAUACUGAAGGCAUGUUUAAUAACAUUUUUUAAUCUUGCAUGGUGAUAGUUUAAUAUCUCUUAUUUUCCUUUAACUUAACCAUUACUAUGAAAAUCACUCAACCAAUAGCGUACAUUUCAAUAUGUUGCUAUGAAACCCUGAGUGUGUGUAUAUCUUGCAUCUACUAAAUAAUAUUUAUCUAGCAAAAGUAAGCAUUGAGUUUAUUAUUAUUGUGAAUAAAUACAAGUCAUAUUAAAUGCAAUAAUUAUGAAAAAAUUUACUAAGUCAAGGCGUUAAAAAAUUAUGUUGUGGAUUGCAAAUAGUUUCAAUCAAAACUCUUGAAUUAUAAGUUGUUCCUUCCCAUCUAACAACAACAUACCUAAAGAUCAUGUCAAAAUCACAAACUGCUAUAACAUUUGGAAAACAUUGUCCUCUCCUAUGACCUUGAUAUCAUACUUGUUGACUAGCAGGAAGGUAUACAUGGAUAAGAGUUCUAGUAAUUGCACCAACAACACCCUACAUGAUAAUAAUUUUUAAAAAUAUAAAUAAUUAUUUUCAUAUGAGAACAAUACAAAUAUGAUAUGAAUGGUUACUAAUAGAAAAUAAUAUACCUUAAAAAUUUACCUUAGCUGGCGAUUAGAGAUACCAAUUGAACUAUUAUUGAAUGAUGGAGGAGAAAUUUUCUCUUUUGAGAAUUUCACCAUGGGCACUAAAACCUCAUGGAAAUAUUUUUUAAUUGUUUGACAUAGUAUUGGAAUCUAUCAUUAAUUUAUCAAUUCCUAAGAUUAUGACUAAAAGUCACUAAAAACAUGGUCAUUUUCUCUUUAAUAUUCAAAUGUUUAUUGUCAAUGAGCCACUCUUUUCCCCAAAUUAUGUGACAUAGAUAAAUCCAUGCAUUUUCAUCUAUAAUGUUCAUAACAUACGUUAAAUGGAUCGUCUAAAAUCUCUCGAAUGAAAAGUGAACAUGUAAAUGAUAAUGUAGAGACUUGUUGCUUAUUAAUGGAUGAGUUACUUAAUAGUUGAAGUAAUAACACAAUCAAUCUUUUUUUAAAGCCACUUUUCUCUUCUAACUUGAUAUCUUCAUCUUCACUUGAUAAUGAUGAACUUGAACAGUUGGAGUGAUGAGAAAGAUUCAACAUAAGAAUAUUUAUUAUAAAAAAACAUUAUGUAUGAGAUAAAAGCAUAACAACAUAAUAAAAUAAUUUAUAACAAUGUAUAAGUAAUGCUUCUAUUUUUACAUAAUUCUAUUCACUACAUUAUGCGUUCAUUACCAUGAAAGACUAACAAUUUAUAUUACACAUAUUUCAAAUAAUAAAAGUAGAGAAAAAAAAAUAGGAGUAUUCUCAAUAAAGUAUAAAAAGAAAGUCUUAUAAUUGAAAAAAUAUUCAAAUUUAUUAAAUAUCCAAAAUAAGAAAACCAAAUAUACCCACAUUAUAAUCAUCAUAUAGGCAACAUAUCUUAUUAAUUACACAAAUCCAAACCAAAUAUUUAAGUCAUUUAUGCAAACUUUGAAUCUAUCCUAUCGAUUUUUUGUUAUUUUCCAUAUCCAUCCACAACUCUUUAUACUUUUUUUUUCUUUCAAAAUGCAUUAGUUGCUACAUAAUACAAUGGAUCCUCAUAAGUUAAGAGUCUCCUCAAACUUUUCAUGUAUUCCUUCACGGGGUAUUCUUCAAAAUUCUCAAAUAUAUUCACUAUUUCAUUUCUUCUUAAAUUUGUUUUUUCUUUUCUUUUUUAUGUUUUUCUUAGAACCUUUUACUUCAUUAUUAGUAUUUUUUUGGAAAAUUCUCAUCUUUCUUUAAACUAAUUGGAGUUUCACUAGGCAUAGAUGCAUAACAUGUUGAUGAUUCUUAACUCUAGAAGCUAUUACUCUUCUAGAGCUUCAAUUUUUAGACCUUGUAGCUAGUACUCAUCCAAACAAUGCCUCUAAUUCCUCAACAUUUGCUAAUAGUUUGAAACAAAAUUGUUUAACUUCUAGAUAUUUCUAUUUUACAAGAUAAAAAACAAAUUAGUCACAUAUAGAUAUGUAAGAUAAUUGUUUUAAAAAUUCACUCAAAUCUAUAAGAAAACUACUUGCAUAUAUUAUUCUCAUCUUUCAAUUAGCUAAUAGAACGUGUUGGUUACAAAGUUGUAACCAUGUGCUCUCAUAGUCAUUAGUUUAUUCCAAGUGAGAUAUUGCCUCAAAGUAUAGCAUCUUCCAAGUAACUUCUCCAACUCUUUAGCAAUUCAAAGCCAAGCGUGAGGCUUUAAACCUUGACCUAAUCUAAAGCCUUUAUUUUCCUUUUAAAUACAAAAAUCAAUAAAAUGCUUUCUUUAGGUGGGGUUAAUCCAAUUUGUCCCUACUAGUUCCAAUAUUAUGACUAAUUACUACACAAAAAACCAAUAUUAAUGACUAUUUUUUAUUUUUUUAUUUUUUAAAAGCAUAGAUCCAACCAACAUGAUAUUGUCUUAAAGAAGAUAUAAAGAUCAUAUCAAGGGGAUUAAUCAAAACCAAGGUGGCUCUCUUCAACAUCCUCAACCACUAGUUGAAAAAACCAUAAAUCAAAGUCAUGGACAAAAUCCCAUUGAUUUUUGUGUACUUGUAAAUGAAUGAGAAAUACAAAUAUAUUUUUAUGUUAUUCAUUAUAAAUUAGUUCUCUUACAUAUUGAUUCGUUCUCAAUUGGUGUCACAGUUGAUUCAUGUCCUCUCAAUGGUCCUUGACAGUGGUGCCAUUUGAUUCGUGUCCAGCUGGUGUCCCUUGAUUGUGGUCCUCAGAAGGGAGUAAUCAACAAAAUUUAUAACCUAUUACACCAUGUACUAGGAUAGUCUUAGCUAGCAUAGCAUAGUGGCUCUAGGGUCGUUCACUGGGAUGGGUUUUCACUCCACAAUUGAUAUUAAUCCAAAGAUGAAUUGGUGCCUUUUCAUUUCAAGGUUAGCUUUAAAAGAAAACAUAAAGAUGUUUAAAUGAAAAAGAUUUGGUUUUAAACUAACCAAAAAUAGUAACUGAUUUUACUUACAAAGAAAAGUGUUUUUUGGAGUUUAGAUCACUAGGUUCAGGUUCCUCAUACAAAAAGGAGAGUUCUGGUCACUUGUUUCUUUUCCUUGUAUUAGAGAAUUAACAUAUAGUUAAUUCUCUAACCGGUGUGGUACAGAUGCUUCCCAUUAAUGGGUUCAAACACUAAAUCCCUCUCACUGAUGCAACUUGCAAUGGCUCAUACCUCUCACAUAGCAUUUGCCAUUCAAGGUGAUCUUUAACCUUGGAUUAACUGUCUCAAGCUCGCAAGAGAUAACUAAUGGAUGUCUCCUUAGAGUCCAAAAGCUUACCAAGUGUUGGCUAUUCUAGAAAAUCCUACCUUCAAGCCACCUCCCAAAGGCUUGCAAGAGAUAAACUAGUGCAUCUCCAUGGACGGAGAUCACUUGCCUUACCAAGUGUUGGCCCAGGUGAUUUAAAGGCGUUUUAAGUUAACUAAAAAGAUAAAAACCAUUAAUGGGUCACACUUUCUCUUCAUUAAAAACCAAAACAACAAAACUUCCAAUUUAUGCAUCAGGAAACUUACCCGGCUUUCUUCACUCCAAGAGACGAAGAGCCUAGCCUCUCAUCCUCUGAGGAAAAAUCCUCAGAGUUUGAUUGGCUAGAAAGAAAACUAAGGAGAAAACAAAAAUAUAUAGGAAAAACAGAGCAAGUGCUCUGUAAAAUAUAUUUCUUCCUUAUACAAAAGGUUGUCUCCAAGAACAAGCUCCCGAGAGAUUGUAUUCUAAAGAAGAUUACAAACUAUAUAUAAGAGGUUAUUCACCCUUUGUUCUUACUUAAAGACUAAGGAAUCCUAUGAUAGGUGGAUUACACGGACAGUUUGGGGAUUUAGACAUCAAAUAUCUAAAGCAAAAUAUCCCAAAAUGUCGGUCGGAAAUAUCGGGAAGCUUCAGGAGAACACCGCGGCAUUGUGCAAAAUCCGGGUAGUCUGAAAUGUCGGCUGCGGAUGCUCUCCGGAUGAGCGCUAUCAGAAGAUCCGGAUAUGCCUGUCCGGGGAAGUUGAAACACCUCCUCUCCCAUCCGGCAUCAGGGGAUCCAGAUGUGAAAUAUCCGAUCAAAGGAUCCGGACAUGUCUGACCGGACAUAAUUUCGGAUGAGAUAUCCGAACGUCGCAAGGGGGACCGUCUGCGUGUGUAAGGUGUAGGGACCCAUCCGGCUCAACUCCAUCUGGAUUCCCCAAGAGGACAUGCGUCGCCAUGCUAUCCGGCUCAACUCCAUCCGGAUUCUCUAAGAGGACAUGUGUCGCCAUGCUAUCUGGAUCAACUCCAUCCGGAUUCCCCAAGAGGACAUGCGCCGCAAUGCUAUCCGGACUCCCUUAGGGACAAGCACACGACACUCGUGAACAUCACACUCCGGAUGAUAGCAUAUCUUAUCCGAAUAUGUUUGUCCGGAUGGAAAACAUUGACUAAAGCGAGCAAGCCUUGCUACUUCAUUCCGAAAGCCUACCACAGCUCACGUUCCGCCGUCCUCCAAUAGUGUGUCCGGACUCCCUAUUUGGACAUCUUUGCCAUGGAUUCCAAAGAACUCUCCUCAAUUUCGGAUUGCUUUGGUGAUCAAAAAGCUAUGAAAACACCAAAACUUAACACAAUUUGAUUAGAAUUGAUUACAAGGGUCCUUAAUAUGUUAAUUAGGUUAAAAUGUGAUAACUACUACUCAAAAGUGUUUAAAAGAGUUAAUUACAAGCUAUCAAAUAACACUUUUUGAGUAGUAAUCACUCCCCUCAACCGACAUAUUGCUAGUCCCUUAGCAAUGAAGGAGAGAAAAAUAAAAAUAAACAGUACUAUAAUUUACAACAUCAUGCUGAUCAAAAAACAAUUUUCAAGUGACAUGAUGAUCUAACUCUCACAUGGAACAUUAAAGAAAUAAAACUCAAACUUCAAAAAAAGUUAUCAAAUAACUUGUCUAAUCACAAUUCUUAAAGAGAAGGCAUUAUGCAAAUUUAAGUUUUAAAAGAGUUUCCACUCCCAAAGGGUCAAACCUUACUCUUCCACAAAAAUCUAAGUGUUAUUUAUUAGCUUCCGAAUAUAGUAUGUUGAACUAAUUGAUUACUACUCAAAAAGUGCUAUUUGAUAGCCUUUAAUUAAUCCUUUUUAACACUUUUGAGUAGUAGUUUAGGCCUUUUAACUCAAUUGGCAUGUUAAGGAUCCUUUAAAGCAAUUUUGAUCACUUUGUGUAAGUUUUGGUGUUUUUGUUAGUAUUUUGAUCACCAAAGCAAGUCAAGAAUGAGGAGAGCUAUGAGGAAUCUUGGGCAAAGCUUAGAAUUCAAUUGCCAAGAGUGAAUCCGGAUUGCAAGGAGAAAAAGCAAAGAGAAUCUGCUAUGAAGCCUAUUCUUGAUGACAGUCGUAGCAGCCACUUUUGGAGCACUUUCUGAAGUCCAAAUGAUGCAAGCUAUAUACCAUUUCAAAGCUCAGGAAGUCAACAAUCCAAUGCUUCAAACGGUGUGCAAUUUGGAGUUGAAAUGAAGAAGUUGCAGCCAUUACAAGUCAAUCACUCUAAAGUGUUGCGGAAUCAGCCUUUUGUUGCGAGAAUUUCGCAGCACUUUUGUACAGUAAGGUGUUUCUCCUUCUGACGAUGCACGAACCAUGCCGCGAGAAGGGAGCUGGAAACUUCAAGAUGGAAGCCAACUUUGCAGCCUAGUGAAGAUAGCUCGGUCUUGCAAGAUAAUUUCGCAGCCCUCUUGGGUGUUUGCGAAAUUUCGCAGGCCUCAUUUUUCACCUGCGAAAUGGCUCCUGAAGCCUCCCGAAGCUUGCUACCGACAUUGGGAGAUAUUUUCCAUUAGAUUUUUGUUGUCUAAAUCCCAAAAUACUCCUUGUAAACCACCAAUUACAUGAUUCCUUAGUUUUUAAGUUAGUAAAAAGACCAAAUAUCUUUGUAAGAAUUAGUUUUAUAUUAGUUUGAUAUAAAUACCUCUCGGGAGCCUGUUCUCAGGGAGGAGUUCCUUCGGUAAACGUUUGGUAAGCUAGUAAAGGUUUUUUCUUUCUACUGCCUUACCUUCUCACUUUGUAUUUUCAUUUUAUUUCUAAGUUAUGAAUUCUCUGAGGAGUUUUCCCCAGAGAAUGAGUAACUAAACCUCCAAUUCCUUGGAGCUAAGGUUGCCGGGGAAGGUUCCAAGUGCAAGAAUGCAAAGCUCUGCGGUUUUAGCUAAUAAUGAAGAGGAAGUGAAAUCCUUUAGUGAUUUCAAUGUUUUUAGUUAACUUAAAACACCUUGGAGCCACCUAGGCCAACACUUGGUAAGGCAAGUGAUUUCCAACCGUGGAAAUGCACUAGUUUACCCCUUGCGAGCCUCUGGUAGGUGUCUUCAAGGUAGGAUUUUCUAGAAUUACCAACACUUGGUAAGCUUUUGGACUCCUAGGAGGCAUCCAUUAGUUAUUUCUUGCGAGUUUGUGAAGGGAAGUCCAAGGUUAAAGAUCACCUUGAAUGGUAAGUGCUCGUGAGAGGCAUGAACCAUUGCAAGUUGCAUCAGUGAGAGAAUUAAAGUGAAAUCUAAUUGAAGGAGUCUCUGUACAUCACCGGUUAGAGAAUUAACUAUAAGUUGAAUCUCUAAUGCGAGGAAAUGAACCAUCUGACCGGAGCUAUGUCUUUUGCAUGAGGAACCACCCCAGUGAACCUAAAUCUCCAAGGAAUGUUUUCUUCCUAAAUUAUUCCAAACUUCUGUUAAGUUAGUUAGUUUAAGUCUCAACCUUUACCAAUCAAAGUUUGUGUUUUAUUUCUUAAGCUAACCGUGAAAUGAAACAAGACCAAUUCACUUGGAAUUGGUAUCCUUGAUUGCUUGUUCAUCAUUCCCAGUGAACGAUCCUAGAGCCACUAUACUAUAGUAGCUUUGUAUUUGCUACCCUAGUGUAUGGUGUUAUAGGUAUNNNNNNNNNNNNNNNNNNNNNNNNNNNNNNNNNNNNNNNNNNNNNNNNNNNNNNNNNNNNNNNNNNNNNNNNNNNNNNNNNNNNNNNNNNNNNNNNNNNNNNNNNNNNNNNNNNNNNNNNNNNNNNNNNNNNNNNNNNNNNNNNNNNNNNNNNNNNNNNNNNNNNNNNNNNNNNNNNNNNNNNNNNNNNNNNNNNNNNNNNNNNNNNNNNNNNNNNNNNNNNNNNNNNNNNNNNNNNNNNNNNNNNNNNNNNNNNNNNNNNNNNNNNNNNNNNNNNNNNNNNNNNNNNNNNNNNNNNNNNNNNNNNNNNNNNNNNNNNNNNNNNNNNNNNNNNNNNNNNNNNNNNNNNNNNNNNNNNNNNNNNNNNNNNNNNNNNNNNNNNNNNNNNNNNNNNNNNNNNNNNNNNNNNNNNNNNNNNNNNNNNNNNNNNNNNNNNNNNNNNNNNNNNNNNNNNNNNNNNNNNNNNNNNNNNNNNNNNNNNNNNNNNNNNNNNNNNNNNNNNNNNNNNNNNNNNNNNNNNNNNNNNNNNNNNNNNNNNNNNNNNNNNNNNNNNNNNNNNNNNNNNNNNNNNNNNNNNNNNNNNNNNNAGUGAGAUCAGUGAAGAAAAGAAGGAAUCUGAUUCAACAAUCAAAGCAAUUCCAGAGAAAGAGCUUCUGAAGGAAGAAAUGCUGAAGAAAUCAACUUCUCCACCUUUUCCUCAAGCAUUACAAGGGAAAAAGGGGGUUAGAAAUGCAGCGGAAAUCCUAGAAGUAUUGAGACAAGUGAAAGUUAAUAUUCCACUGCUGGAUAUGAUUAAACAAGUUCCAACGUAUGCAAAAUUCCUAAAGGACUUGUGUACUAUCAAAAGAGGGUUGACUGUAAACAAGAAAGCCUUCUUGACUGAGCAAGUAAGUGCAAUCUUACAGUGUAAGUCUCCUUUGAAGUACAAAGACCCUGGAAGUCCUACCAUUUCAGUCAUGAUUGGAGGAAAGGUAGUUGAGAAAGCCUUGUUAGACUUGGGAGCAAGUGUGAAUUUGCUUCCAUACACAGUCUACAAGCAACUGGGCCUUGGAGAGUUGAAGCCAACAGCAAUCACUUUAUCUUUGGCAGAUAGAUCAGUGAAAAUUCCAAGAGGAGUAAUUGAGGAUGUAUUGGUUCAAGUAGAUAAUUUCUACUAUCCUGUAGAUUUUGUUGUUCUUGAUACUGAUCCAACUGUAAAGGAAGCUAAUUUAGUUCCUAUCAUCCUUGGAAGGCCAUUUCUUGCAACUUCAAAUGCAAUCAUCAAUUGUAGAAAUGGGCUUAUGCAACUCACUUUUGGUAAUAUGACACUGGAUCUAAAUAUUUUUUAUAUGUCUAAAAAGCAUAUCACUCCGGAAGAAGAAGAAGGACCAGAAGAGUUAUGUAUAAUUGAUACUUUGGUGGAGGAGCACUGUAAUCAGCAUAUGCAAGACAAGUUGAGUGAAAGUCUUGAGGAUAUUGAGGAAGGUUUUUCUGAAUCUCCUAUUGGGCUUGCUACUCUACAAAGUUGGAGAAAGAUAGAAGGAAUUCUACCUCUGUUCAAUGAAGAAGAGGAGGCAACUGUUGAAGAAGAAAUUCCAAAACUCAAUCUGAAGCCUUUACCUGUGGAGCUGAAAUAUACAUAUCUUGAAGCAAAUAAUCAAUGUCCUGUUGUGAUAUCUUCAUCUCUGACCAGUCAUCAAGAGAAUUGUUUAAUGGAAGUUCUCAGGAGGUGUAAGAAGGCAAUAGGAUGGCAAAUAUCUGAUUUGAAAGGCAUUAGUCCUUUAGUUUGUACUCAUCAUAUAUAUAUGGAGGAGGAAGCAAAGCCAAUUCGUCAAUUUCAAAGAAGGUUGAAUCCUCAUCUACAAGAGGUGGUGCGAGCUGAGGUGCUGAAGCUACUUCAAGCAGGAAUCAUUUACCCUAUAUCUGAUAGCCCUUGGGUGAGUCCUACUCAAGUGGUGCCAAAGAAGUCAGGGAUUACAGUGAUUCAAAAUGAAAAAGGGGAAGAAAUUACUACACGCCUCACUUCAGGUUGGAGGGUGUGUAUUGAUUAUAGGAAGCUGAAUGCUGUCACCAGGAAGGAUCAUUUUCCAUUGCCAUUUAUUGACCAAGUGCUGGAGAGAGUCUCUGGACAUCCAUUCUAUUGUUUCUUGGAUGGGUAUUCAGGGUAUUUUCAGAUUGAAAUUGAUUUGGCAGAUCAGGAAAAGACCAAUUUUACAUGUCCAUUUGGAACAUUUGCUUAUAGAAGAAUGCCUUUUGGGUUAUGCAAUGCACCUGCUACAUUUCAAAGAUGCAUGUUGAGUAUUUUCAGUGAUAUGGUGGAGAGAAUUAUGGAGGUUUUCAUGGAUGACAUCACUGUAUAUGGAGGUACAUUUGAGGAGUGCUUGGUUAAUUUGGAAGCAGUUCUUCAUAGAUGCAUUGAAAAAGACCUGGUGCUGAACUGGGAGAAAUGCCAUUUUAUGGUACGUCAAGGAAUUGUCCUUGGCCAUAUCAUCUCUGAAAGAGGCAUUGAAGUUGAUAAAGCAAAGGUGGAGCUUAUUGCCAAAUUACCAUCUCCAACAACUGUGAAAGGAGUAAGGCAGUUCCUUGGCCAUGCAGGGUUCUAUAGGAGGUUUAUAAAAGGUUUUUCUAGUCUUUCAAAACCUCUUUGUGAGCUGUUAGCUAAGGAUACUAAGUUUAUAUGGGAUGAAAGGUGUCAGCAUAGCUUUGAUCAACUGAAGAAGUUUUUAACAACAGCUCCAAUAGUGAGAGCCCCUAACUGGCAGUUACCUUUUGAACUGAUGUGUGAUGCCAGUGACUUUGCUAUAGGAGCUGUGCUUGGCCAAAGAGAAGAUGGGAAGCCCUAUGUGAUUUACUAUGCAAGUAAAACACUGAAUGAAGCUCAAAGGAACUACACAACUACAGAGAAAGAAUUGUUAGCUGUGGUAUUUGCUUUGGACAAAUUUCGAGCUUAUUUAGUGGGGUCUUUCAUCAUUGUUUUUACUGACCAUUCAGCCUUGAAGUAUUUAUUGACAAAGCAAGAUGCAAAAGCAAGGUUGAUUAGAUGGAUUCUAUUGUUACAAGAGUUCGAUCUUCAAAUCAAAGAUAAGAAAGGAGUGGAGAAUGUAGUAGCUGACCACUUGUCAAGGUUAGUUACAGCACAUAAUUCCCAUCCCUUGCCUAUCAAUGAUGAUUUUCCUGAAGAAUCACUCAUGUUCCUAGUGAAAACUCCUUGGUAUGCUCAUAUUGCUAAUUAUUUAGUAACUGGUGAAAUUCCAAGUGAGUGGAAUGCACAGGACAGGAAACACUUCUUUGCCAAAAUUCAUUCUUAUUAUUGGGAAGAGCCCUUUCUCUUUAAGUAUUGUGCAGAUCAGAUUAUUAGGAAGUGUGUCCCUGAAGAUGAGCAGCAAGGGAUUCUAUCUCAGUGUCAUGAGAAUGCAUGUGGAGGCCACUUUGCCUCUCAGAAAACAGCCAUGAAGGUAUUGCAAUCAGGGUUUACUUGGCCCUCUCUUUUCAAAGAUGCCCACAUCAUGUGUAGGAAUUGUGAUAGAUGCCAAAGGCUUGGAAAGCUAACAAAAAGAAAUCAAAUGCCUAUGAACCCCAUUCUGAUAGUUGAAAUAUUUGAUGUUUGGGGCAUUGACUUCAUGGGACCUUUCCCAAUGUCUUUUGGUAAUUCUUACAUCUUGGUGGGGGUGGAUUAUGUUUCUAAAUGGGUUGAAGCAAUCCCCUGUAAACAAAAUGAUCACAGGGUGGUUCUCAAGUUUCUUAAAGAGAACAUUUUCUCAAGAUUUGGGGUGCCCAAGGCCAUAAUCAGUGAUGGAGGUGCUCAUUUUUGUAACAAACCUUUUGAAGCUCUGUUAUCCAAGUAUGGAGUGAAGCAUAAGGUGGCCACACCUUAUCAUCCUCAGACAUCCGGCCAAGUUGAGCUAGCUAACAGGGAAAUAAAGAACAUCUUGAUGAAAGUGGUGAAUUCCAACAGAAAUGAUUGGUCUAUUAGGCUUCAUGAUUCAUUGUGGGCAUAUAGAACAGCUUAUAAGACUAUUCUUGGGAUGUCUCCCUAUCGUCUUGUCUAUGGUAAAGCAUGCCAUCUCCCUGUGGAAGUUGAAUACAAAGCUUGGUGGGCCAUAAAAAAGCUGAACAUGGAUUUGAUCAAGGCAGGAGAAAAGAGAUUUCUAGACCUUAAUGAGAUGGAGGAAUUGAGAAAUAAUGCUUAUAUCAAUUCCAAAGUUGCAAAACAGAGGAUGAAGAAGUGGCAUGACCAACUCAUCUCCGACAAGAAAUUUCAGGAAGGGCAAAAAGUUUUGAUGUAUGACACAAGACUCCAUAUCUUUCCUGGGAAGCUCAAAUCAAGGUGGAUUGGUCCAUUUGUUAUUCAUCGAGUAUACUCCAAUGGAGUGGUGGACUUAUUGAAUUCCAAUGGCAAUGAUAGCUUUAGAGUCAAUGGAUAUCGUCUUAAGCCAUUCAUGGAGUCAUUCAAAUCAGAAAAGGAGGCAAUCAACCUCCUUGAACCUCAAAAAGCCUAAGUGAAAUGGGUUUGCUGGACGUGGUUUAACCACAGUCCAAAAUUUUUGUAAAUUUUGUAAAUUUUCAAGUUGUUUCCAUGCUUUUGAUUUUAGUUUUUGAUCUUAAAUCAUGUUUUUAGGUGUGUUUUAAUCGUUUUAUAUGAUCCCAGGUGGAAGAAAUUUCAAGGAAAUUGAAAAGAAAAAAAUCGGGCCGAAAUUGAAGCCGAAACAGAGCAAAAACAGGGGAAAAACAGAGCUCUGCGAAAUUUCGCAGGGUGAAGGAAACUUCUGCGAAAUUGGCAUUUUGUUGCCAACCCAUUUCGCAGCACUGUAGAAGCCUCUACGAGUGUGUUUCGCAAUUGCGAAAGUGGAUUUGGCACACGAGUGCCACUUCGCAGAACAGUGGCAUCAAUUUCGCAGCUGCGAAACGCGUUGCGAAAUGAAAAAGCGUGAUUUCGCACCAAAAGUCCUAUUCCGCAGAGUAUUUCGCAAUUGCGAAAGUGGUUUUGGCACACGAGUGCCACUUCGCAGCACAGUGACAUCAAUUUCGCAGCUGCGAAACUCACUGCGAAGUUGCUGCGAAAAUGACAAGUUGCUGCGAAAUUGGCGUUUUGUUGCGAAACUUAAACUGACCCCUGGGCUUCCGUUUUUCCUAUUUAUACCGGUCAAAAGUGCUGCGAAAAGGGUUUCAAAAAUCAGAGCACCAUUCUCGCAGCCCCUUCGUCUUUUUCACCAAGCCACGCCGUCCGUUUCUCCGGUCGUCUUCUCCGUUUAGCAGCGCCGGCCAAAGAUCGAUAGACCAAAAUGGCACGAACGCGAGGGGCAAAGUCUUCAUCCCCUUCGAACCUGAAAAGGAGUCUGCGAAAGGAUCCAAGUCCAGGUUCUGUUCCAGAACCUGCUCCAAAGCCUUCGCCGUCGAGACCACAACCUUCUCCAGUGAAGCCGGCGCCACCAAAGCCGCCGGCAAGGCGAUAUUUAACAAGGUCAGGUGGUCAGCCAUUAAAGAAGAAGCCCAGGGUUGAGAGCUCUGAACCAAUUGAUUUGACUGAGCAAUCCCCUGAGCAGUCCCCAAACCCAUCACCGGUUCAAUCUCCGGUAUCUUCACCAAAUCCUUCACCUGUUCAAACUCCAGUGCCGUCACCGGUUCCCUCGCCAAUUCCCUCACCUGAAGCAACUCCAAUUUCAUCGCCGGUACCACCUCCGGCACCCCAAGAAAAAGCUCAGGAGCCUCCAGCGCCAAUUCCAGAGCCCCAAAUUGCAGCUGAAGCACCUCUGGAAGAAGUGAUCCGAAGACCAAUGCUGCCCCAGCCCCCAAUCGAAGGAAACUUGGAUUGUCGAACACGGGCAUUCCACUCUGAGCUUUGCUUCGAUUUAACAGCAUUCAGAGUGAGGCCAGAGCUUGCCCAAUCCUUCCAGCUGCUGAGGAGAUAUCAUAUGGAGCAUCUGCUAGCUCCAAGGGAUUUUUUCUAUCCCCGGGUAGUCACGGACUUCUACCAGACCAUGACAACCAAAGAAGUAAGAAAUCCAACCUUGAUUCAUUUUAUAAUUGAUGGAAGACAUGGUAUUUUGGGAGCAAGACAUAUUGCUGAAGCCCUGCAAAUUCCUUUUGAGCCAACCCAAUUCGACAAUUUUAAAGUUUGGGUAAAUCCUACUGAGUUAGAGAUGGUUCGCACACUAACCAGAGGAGCUGCAAAUCGGUCACACCUGUUGAGGGGGGAGCUACCUCCAGUGAUGUUUUUGAUUGAUGCCUUUUUGAGGCAUAAUAUCUAUCCCCUGCAGCAUUGGACCCAAAGAAGGGGAGUUCUCCUGGAAGCUCUGUACAGAAUGUCAAAAGGAUUCUUCUUUGGGCCUCAUCAUUUGAUCAUGGCAGCCCUUCUAUACUUUGAGGAAAAGGUUCACAAGAAGAAACUUCAAAGAGCAGAUUGCAUUCCCCUCCUCUUCCCAAGGCUGCUAUGCCAAGUUUUGGAGCAUCUCGGAUACCCCUCUAAGCCUCAGCAGGAAAGAAAGAGAAUAUGCCGUGAGCCAUUUACCCUUGAUAAAUGGAAUAAUAUGACGGCCUACAAAAUUGAUCAGCCUGGGCAGCCUCAACCAGCAGCAAGGAGAGCCUCCCCAAGACAUCCACCUGAAGGUAUUACACUUGCUACUCCUGCCAUCCCUCGAGCUCCACCAGCUGCACCUGCUCCAUCACAGCCAUCCACAUCAGCUGAGCCGAGGAUGGCCAUCCCUAUAUCCGAAUAUCGAGAGCUGUGCCGAGCAUUGGAGACUCUUACAGCUAGCCAGAGCAAUCUUGCUCAGGAGUUGGCAGCCAUCAAAGCAUGCCAGGAGCAGAUGUUAGCCUCUCAGGCUCAACAAGCUGCCAUCCUAAGGCAGCUUCAAGUCCAUUUCGAUCUGCCACAAGCUGUAGAGCCUUCCACUGAGACUCCACCAGAGCCACACUCUCAGCCUUCAGAGUCUCAUCCUCCAGAACCCGAAGCACCAGCUGAUCCACCUACUGGAGAGGCAGAUCCUUCUGCCUAGCACUAUCACCCCACUUAUCAGACAUUAUAUAUAUUUGCUGUUUAUGUUUUUAUGCAUGUUUGUUUUGUUUUAGUUAAAAUGAAAUCCCAGUAUUUUGGUACUAUAUAUGGGAUUCCUUGUGUUACUUGUCUUUUGCAUUGUAAUCAAAUGAAUUCAAAGUAAUACAAGUUGAAUAUUUCUUGUUAAAACUUAGCAUUAAGUUCUCCUUAUUUCCUUUUCUCACAUAUUCUAUUCUUUUUGAAACAUGUGGUUUUCCCCAAUCAAUAUUCGAAUUUGAUAUCAGCAUGGAGGUACCACUUCCUCCCUUUUAUUACAGUCACUCAAAUCACAUUGAGGACAAUGCUCAGUUCGGUUAGGGGGUAUGAGGAAGGAAGUAGUCUAAACCUUUUUGGUAUUGCAAUUAUAUUAGUUAAUUAGUUGUAGUUUUUACUUUUUACUCUAGUGUUACUCUACUCUCCAUGAAUUUUGAGGAAAAAUUUUCAAAUUAAACCAAGAGAAAUUGAACUGUUGUUUUUCACUUGACUUAGAGUAUGGAUUAUGCUUACUAAAGUGGUUCAAUUGUUGAAACUUCUACUGUGAUUGAAUUUAGUUCUUCCACUUUAAACUAUCCACACACUGUGCACAUUAGUUUCCGAUUAUAAGAUGAAAAGCUAUUUCCCUCUUGACUUAGGAUAAUUUUGAGACUUGGUAUAUUUGACCUCAUUUGAUAAAAAUUGAAACACCCUGCAAAAGGCCAAUGAGCCUUUGAAAUAAAGAAAGUUGUUUGCUUGCCUUGAAACCCGAGCAAGGUCUGAGGGGCAUAUGGUGAAAGCCUUUAAAGCCUGGUGCCCUAAGCCUUAAUUGGUUGGGAGUCACCGACCUCAAUGCUCGUUACAAGGGUGAAUAGGUAAAGUUAGCAUAUGGUAGAUGCUUGGGUAUUAGAAGCUCAUUCUUAAAAGUCCGGGGAAAAAUCCGAGGAGUUAGUGGUUGAAAGAUCCUUAAAACUUGGUGCCCUAAACCUUAAUUGGUUGGGAGUCAUCGAUGGACCCCUAUUACAUGGACAAGUCAGAAAGAGUACCCCAGAAAGCUACCUUACNNNNNNNNNNNNNNNNNNNNNNNNNNNNNNNNNNNNNNNNNNNNNNNNNNNNNNNNNNNNNNNNNNNNNNNNNNNNNNNNNNNNNNNNNNNNNNNNNNNNUUACAAGGGGGAAUAGGUAAAGUUAGCAUAUGGUAGAUGCUUGGGUAUUAGAAGUUCAUUUUUAAAAGUCCGGGGAAAAAUCCGGGGAGUUAGGGGUUGAAAGAUCCUUAAAACUUGGUGCCCUAAACCUUAAUUGGUUGGGGGUUAUGGAGGGACCCCUUUUACAUGGACAAGUCAGAAAGGGUUCCCCCGAAAGCUCCCUUUUUUAAAAAAAAAAAAAAAAAAAAAAAAAAAAAAAAAAAAAAAAAAAAAAAAAAUGAAAGUGUGUUAUUUUCUUAUUGAUUUUGGUCAGGUUGCUAAAGUGUUGAAAAGAGUUAGGUUGGGGGGUGAGAUUAGUAGCAUAUUAUUCUCGGAAUCUAAGGAACCAAUACACAUAGAUUUUUGUGGAAGAUUGAAGUUUAGUUCUUAGAAAAUGAAAUGAUUUUAAAACUUCAGUUUGCAUAAUGCACUCCCUUGAUUGAUAGUGCUUAGCAUAGUUUGUUAUGACUCUUGUUGAGAUUUGGGUUUGUAUUUCUUCAAUGCUUCAUGUGAGAAAUAGAUCAUCAUGCCACUUGAGAAUUAUUUUCCUUUGAGUAUGAUGUUGUAAAUUUUAGUUUAGUUUGUUAUUUAUUUUCAGUUUUCUCUCCUAUAUUGCUAAGGGACUAGCAAUAUGUCGGUUGGGGGGAGUGAUUACUACUCAAAAAGUGCUAUUUGAUAGCCUUUAAUUAAUCCUUUUUAACACUUUUGAGUAGUAGUUUAGGCCUUUUAACUCAAUUGGCAUGUUAAGGAUCCUUUAAAGCAAUUUUGAUCACUUUGUGUAAGUUUUGGUGUUUUUGUUAGUAUUUUGAUCACCAAAGCAAGUCAAGAAUGAGGAGAGCUAUGAGGAAUCUUGGGCAAAGCUUAGAAUUCAAUUGCCAAGAGUGAAUCCGGAUUGCAAGGAGAAAAAGCAAAGAGAAUCUGCUAUGAAGCCUAUUCUUGAUGACAGUCGUAGCAGCCACUUUUGGAGCACUUUCUGAAGUCCAAAUGAUGCAAGCUAUAUACCAUUUCAAAGCUCAGGAAGUCAACAAUCCAAUGCUUCAAACGGUGUGCAAUUUGGAGUUGAAAUGAAGAAGUUGCAGCCAUUACAAGUCAAUCACUCUAAAGUGUUGCGGAAUCAGCCUUUUGUUGCGAGAAUUUCGCAGCACUUUUGUACAGUAAGGUGUUUCUCCUUCUGACGAUGCACGAACCAUGCCGCGAGAAGGGAGCUGGAAACUUCAAGAUGGAAGCCAACUUUGCAGCCUAGUGAAGAUAGCUCGGUCUUGCAAGAUAAUUUCGCAGCCCUCUUGGGUGUUUGCGAAAUUUCGCAGGCCUCAUUUUUCACCUGCGAAAUGGCUCCUGAAGCCUCCCGAAGCUUGCUACCGACAUUGGGAGAUAUUUUCCAUUAGAUUUUUGUUGUCUAAAUCCCAAAAUACUCCUUGUAAACCACCAAUUACAUGAUUCCUUAGUUUUUAAGUUAGUAAAAAGACCAAAUAUCUUUGUAAGAAUUAGUUUUAUAUUAGUUUGAUAUAAAUACCUCUCGGGAGCCUGUUCUCAGGGAGGAGUUCCUUCGGUAAACGUUUGGUAAGCUAGUAAAGGUUUUUUCUUUCUACUGCCUUACCUUCUCACUUUGUAUUUUCAUUUUAUUUCUAAGUUAUGAAUUCUCUGAGGAGUUUUCCCCAGAGAAUGAGUAACUAAACCUCCAAUUCCUUGGAGCUAAGGUUGCCGGGGAAGGUUCCAAGUGCAAGAAUGCAAAGCUCUGCGGUUUUAGCUAAUAAUGAAGAGGAAGUGAAAUCCUUUAGUGAUUUCAAUGUUUUUAGUUAACUUAAAACACCUUGGAGCCACCUAGGCCAACACUUGGUAAGGCAAGUGAUUUCCAACCGUGGAAAUGCACUAGUUUACCCCUUGCGAGCCUCUGGUAGGUGUCUUCAAGGUAGGAUUUUCUAGAAUUACCAACACUUGGUAAGCUUUUGGACUCCUAGGAGGCAUCCAUUAGUUAUCUCUUGCGAGUUUGUGAAGGGAAGUCCAAGGUUAAAGAUCACCUUGAAUGGUAAGUGCUCGUGAGAGGCAUGAACCAUUGCAAGUUGCAUCAGUGAGAGAAUUAAAGUGAAAUCUAAUUGAAGGAGUCUCUGUACAUCACCGGUUAGAGAAUUAACUAUAAGUUGAAUCUCUAAUGCGAGGAAAUGAACCAUCUGACCGGAGCUAUGUCUUUUGCAUGAGGAACCACCCCAGUGAACCUAAAUCUCCAAGGAAUGUUUUCUUCCUAAAUUAUUCCAAACUUCUGUUAAGUUAGUUAGUUUAAGUCUCAACCUUUACCAAUCAAAGUUUGUGUUUUAUUUCUUAAGCUAACCAUGAAAUGAAACAAGACCAAUUCACUUGGAAUUGGUAUCCUUGAUUGCUUGUUCAUCAUUCCCAGUGAACGAUCCUAGAGCCACUAUACUAUAGUAGCUUUGUAUUUGCUACCCUAGUGUAUGGUGUUAUAGGUAUAAAUUUUGUUGAUCACUUCCUCAAUCAAGGAGCACCAGCUGAACACAAAUCAGCUGAGACACCAAUUGGGCAUGAGUCACUAAUCUCUCCCCCCAACCUAGUUCUUUUUCAAAGCUUAGCAAACUCAUCAACCUCCAAUAGGCUAAGAACGCACCUCUUUUCUUUCACACUUUUUUUUUUCAUUGUAGGAGUACAAGGCUAAAGGUAUUCUUUUCUAAAUUGUCCAUUUAACGGGGGUCCAUCGAUGACUCCCAACCAAUUAAGGUUUAGGGCAUCAAGCUUUAAGGAUCUUUCAACCACUAACUCCUCGGAUUUUACCCCGGACUUUUGAGAAUGAAUUUUAAUACCCAAGCACCUACAGUAUGUGAAACUCCACCUAUUCACCCUUGUAACGAGCAUUGAGGUUGGUGACUCCCAACCAAUGAAGGCUUAGGGCACCAGGUUUUAAAGAUUUUCACCAUAUACCCCUCAAACCUUGCUCGGGUUUCAAGGCAAGCAAACAUUUUUUUCUUUCUUUCUUUAUUCUUUUUUUCAAAGGCUCAUUGGCCUUUUUACAAGGUGUCCCAACACUAUUAAAUGAGGUCAAAGGUACCAAGUCUAAAAUUUUCCUAAGUCAAGAGGGCAAUAGUUUUUCAUCUUAUACUCGGAACCUAUUGUGCACAGUGUGUGGAUAGCUUAAAGUGGAAGAACUAAGGUUGAAUUCAAUAGAAACUUCAACAAUUCAUCAACUUUAGUAAGCAUAAUACAAGCUCUAAGUCAAGUAAAAAGACAAAAAUUCAAUUUCUCCCUUUUCAUUUUGAGAAUUUUUCCUUAAUAACCAUGGAGAGUAGAAUAAAAAACUUUUUUUUUUUAAAAAAAAAUUUAAAUUAAGCAAAAAACAACUAAAUUACCAAAAUAACUUAGCAUUAAUAACAAUACUUCCUUCCUCAGCUCUCCCCCCAACCAAGGUGAACAUUGUCCUCAAUGUGACAAAAGCGAUUGAAAAAUAGGGAAGAAGUGGUACCUCCUGAGUGACAUGGAGUCUGAGUUGUAUAGGAGAAACCACAUGUUUCAAAAAAAACAAAAGAGUUAGUGAGUAGAGGAAAUAAAAAAAAUGUCAAGCUUAAACAAAAAUGAUGUCUAUAUAUGAUGUAUCAUCAGUAAUACAUCCAAUCCCAGAAUAUAAGACAUCAAAAUAUGGAUUUAUUUAUAUUAAUAUAAUAUGUAAAGAUAAAAAUUAAAGAGAUGAUCAAGUAAUGGUAAGGUCCUGUGGAGUUGAUGCAUCUGUGGUGGCCUCUUGAGUGGGUUGGAUCAAGACUUUGGCCUCUGCUUUGGUAGUCUCCUUAGGUGGCAUAGUCUACUCAGCUGGAGCUAUGGGCUCUAAUGGUUUUAAGGAGGUAAGAAAUGGAGUAAGAGGCUUUGUGUGUGUGAUCUCAGUGAGAGGGCUCUCCUGCAACAAAAUGGGAAUUUUGCAGCCCAUUUCACAGCUGCGAAAUUCCCGUUGGUGCUUUGCGCGAUCGUCUUCAAACGGCCAUAACUUCUUCGUUUCAACUCCAAAUCAAACACCGUUUGAAGCUUUGGACUCCUGACUUCCCAAGCUUCAAAAAGAGAUAUACUAUGCAUAAUUUGAGCUCCAGAAAGUCCUUCAAAAAUAUGUCCAACAGUAGCGAAAUGCAACAUUUCCGUUCUGAUUUUGAUCAUCCAAAAACCUAUAUUACAUCAAAACAAAUUCAAAUUAAAAUUAAAGCAUUGAAAUCAAAAUUAAAACAAGUAAUGAAUAAAACAAAAAGUUAUGGACUAGUUAGUCUUUAGAAAGACUAAGUCCAUCAAAAAAUUUGAUCCUGAUUUAGCUUGCCCGGAUCCCAUAUGAAGUUUGCAUCCCUCACUUGAGACUUGCUCAGUAUGAUUUUGCCAUACAAAGCUUGGGGGAAAGGUGGAGGGAUGUGAUUCUUCAUCAUUUCUUCCUUGAUGAUUAUCCUAUGUGGUUCUUCAUUUAUGUAGUCAUCUUUCUUUGUACUUUUCUCAUUUUUCUUUCCUUUAUUUUCCUCCCUCUUUUCUUUCUCUGUUUCACUCUCUACCUUUUUCUCUAGCUUGGAUGUGGGCAGAUCAACCUCUUUACCACUCCUCAAAGUGAUAACCGUUUUAACUUCCUUCACCAUUGAAGAUUCUCCCUUUUGAGCUUCCACUUGAUGGAUACCCUUGGAAUUUUGAUAAGGUUGAGAAGGAGAGUUUUCUUUCUCUUGCACUUUGUUGAGGUUGGCAAACCUUGAGAUUGAAUAUUAGAGAUUAUCUAUCUUCUGAGAUAAAUCAUUUUGCACUUUAUCCAUCUUCUUGUUCAAUGAACUCUCUACACUGUCAAUUCUUUGACUGAGCUGAGCAUUGAUGGAUUUUUGAGCUCCAACAAAGUCUCCCACGACCUUGCUAAGAUUCACCAUAGCUUGAUGAAGGUUUGAGGCUUGCUGAGGUGCUUGAGCAGGUUGCUGGUACUGAGGUGGCUGUGCUUUCCAAGAGAAAUUUGGAUGGUCCCUCCAAUUGGAAUUGUAGGUGUUGCAAUCACCAAACAUUUCCCUCACGGCUGGAAUGGUAGGACACUCUUCCACCAAGUGCUCAUAAGAUAGACAAAUGACAAAAGGCAUAGCUUGCAAUGGUGUCUGAGAGAUGGCUUGCACUUCUUGUAUCUUCUUCAUUUCUAGCUCUUCCAAUCUCCUUGCCAUAGCUGCAAUCUUUGCUUUCAUGUCUAUGUCUUCAUUCAAAAUAUACAUCUCACCCUUAGCAUUAGGUUGAGACGUCAUUCUUCCCAUAUCUCUAGCAUUUGGUUCAUCCCAUCCUCUUGAAACUUCAGCCACAUAUCUCAUGAAGUUCAUGGCUUCCUCUGCUAUCUCGUAUUCAACAUGGCAUGCACAACUAGAAAUUUGAGAAUUAAAAAUAGAGAAAACAAAACAAAACAAAAGAAACAAAAAUUCUAGAGAAGAAAAAAUUAUUAAGAUUAACUAAAAGCUAUACUAAAAAUAUGAACAAAGAAAAAGAAACAAAUAAAGAAAAAAAUUAGUAAAAAGAAAAGAAAAGUCACCAAACUUGUGAUGAAGAUCACAAGUACUCUGAAAAGGUCAUAUCACUGUAAAGUGGCACCAUCCCCGGCAAAGACGCCAUUUGAUUCGUUCCCAAUUGGUGUCUCAACUGAUUCAUGUCCUCUCAAUGGUCCCUGACAGUGGUGUCAUUUGAUUCGUGUCCAGUUGGUGUCCCUUGAUUGUGGUCCUCAGAAGGGAGUAAUCAACAAAAUUUAUAACCUAUUACACCAUGUACUAGGAUAGCCUUAGCUAGCAUAGCAUAGUGGCUCUAGGGUCGUUCACUGGGAUGGGUUUUCACUCCACAAUUGAUAUUAAUCCAAAGAUGAAUUGCUGCCUUUUCAUUUCAAGGUUAGCUUUAAAAGAAAACAUAAAGAUGUUUAAAUGAAAAAGAUUUGGUUUUAAACUAACCAAAAAUAGUAACUGAUUUUACUUACAAAGAAAAGUGUUUUUUGGAGUUUAGAUCACUAGGUUCAGGUUCCUCAUACAAAAAGGAGAGUUCUGGUCACUUGUUUCUUUUCCUCGCAUUAGAGAAUUAACAUAUAGUUAAUUCUCUAACCGGUGUGGUACAGAUGCUUCCCAUUAAUGGGUUCAAACACUAAAUCCCUCUCACUGAUGCAACUUGUAAUGGCUCAUGCCUCUCACCUAGCAUUUGCCAUUCAAGGUGAUCUUUAAUCUUGGAUUACCCGUCUCAAGCUCGCAAGAGAUAACUAAUGGAUGUCUCCUUAGAGUCCAAAAGCUUACCAAGUGUUGGCUAUUCUAGAAAAUCCUACCUUCAAGCCACCUCCCAAAGGCUCGCAAGAGAUAAACUAGUGCAUCUCUGAUUCGUGCCCAAUUGGUGUCUCAGCUGAUUCGUGUCCAGCUGGUGCUCCUUGAUUGAGGGAGUAAUCAACAAAAUUUAUUACCUAUAACACCAUACACUAGGGUAGCAAAGAAAAAGCUACUAUAGUAUAGUGGCUCUAGGAUCGUUCACUGGGAAUGAUUAACAAGCAAUCAAUGAUACCAAUUCCAAGUGAAUUGGUCUUGUUUCAUUUCAAGUUUAGCUUAAGAAGUAAAAAUACAAACUUUGAUUGGUAAAGGUUUAGACUUAAACUAACUAACAUAACAAAAGUUUGGAAUAAUUUAGGAAGAAAAGCAUUCCCUGGAGAGUUAGGUUCACUGGGGUGGUUCCUCAUGCAAAAGACAUAGCUCCGGUCAGAUGGUUCAUUUCCUCGCAUUAGAGAUUCAACAUAUAGUCAAUUCUUUACCCGGUGUUAUACAGAGACUCCUUCAAUUAGAUUUCACUUUAAUUCUCUCACUGAUGCAACUUGCAAUGGUUCAUGCCUCUCACGAGCACUUACCAUUCAAGAUGAUCUUUAACCUUGGACUUCCCUUCACAAACUCGCAAGAGAUAACUAAUGGAUGUCUCGUUAGAGUCCAAAAGCUUACCAAGUGUUGGUAAUUCCAGAAAAUCCUACCUUAAAGUCACCUCCCAGAGGCUCGCAAGGGGUAAACUAGUGCAUUUCCAAGGUUGGAAAUCACUUGCCUUACCAAGUGUUGGCCCAGAUGACUCUAAGGUGUUUUAAGUCAACUAAAAACAUAGAAAUCAUUAAAGGAUUUCACUUCCUCUUCAUUACUAGCUAAAACCACAAAGCUCUGCAUUUUUGCACUUGGAACUUUCCCCGGCAACCUUAGCUCCAAGGAACUAGAGGUUUAGUUACUCAUUCUCUGGGGAAAACUCCUCAGAGAAUUCAUAACUUAGAAAUAAAAUAAAAAUACAAAGUGAGAAGGUAAGGCAGUAGAAAGAACUGAACUUUACUUGCUUACCAAAAACUUUACAAAAGGCUCUCUUCUCCUCUCUGAGAAUAGCUCCCGAGAGGUAUAUAUAUGCAUAAUAUAAAACUAAUUAUUACAUAGAUAUUUAGUCUUUUUACUAACUUAAAAGCUAAGGAAUCUUGUAAUUGGUGGCUUACAGGGAGUAUUUUGGGAUUUAGACAACAAAAAUCUAAUGGAAAAUAUCUCCCAAUGUCGGUAGCAAAUAUCGGGAGGCUUCAGGAACCAUUUCGCAGGAGAAAAAUGGUGUCUGCGAGAUUUCGCAGACACUCAAGAGGGCUGCGAAAUAAUUUCGCAACACCAAGCUAUCUUCACAGGGCUGCGAAGUUGGCUUCCACCUUGAGGUUCCCAGCUUCCUUCUUGCGGCAUAAAUCGGGCAUCGUCAGAAGGAGAUACACCCUACUGUACAAAAAGGCUGCGAAAUCACUUCGCAACAAAAGGGUGAUUUCGCAACACUUUUGCAAAAAGCUUCCUUCAGCUCGGAGUGAUUGGCUUGCAAUGGCUGCAACUUCUUCGUUUCAACUCCGAAUUAUGCACCAUUUGAAGCAUUGGAUUGUUGACUUCCUGAGAUUUGAAAUGGUAUAUAGCAUGCAUCAUUUGGACUUCAGAAAGUGCUCCAAAAGUGGCUGCUACGACUGUCAUCAAGAAUAGGCUUCAUGGCAGAUUCUCUUUGCUUUUUCUCCUUGCAAUCCGGAUUUACUCUUGGCAAAUGACUUCUAAGCUUUGCCCAAGAUUCCUCAUAGCUCUCCUCAGUCUUGACUUGCUUUGGUGAUCAAAAUACUAACAAAAACACCAAAACUUACACAAAGUGAUUAAAAUUGCUUUAAAAGAUCCUUAACAUGCCAAUUGAGUUAAAAGGCCUAAACUACUACUCAAAAGUGUUUAAAAGGAUUAAUUAUAGGCUAUCAAUUAGCACUUUUUGAGUAGUAAUCACUCCCCCCAACCGACAUAUUGCUAGUCCCUUAGCAAUAUAGGAGAGAAAAAAGAAAAUAAAUAGCAAACUAAUCUAAAAUUUACAACAUCAUGCUGAAAGAAAAUAAUUCUCAAGUGGCAUGAUGAUCUAAUUCUCUCAUGAAACAUUAAAGAAAUAUAAACCCAAAUUUCAACAAGAGUCAUAACAAACUAUGCUAAACACUGUCAAUCAAGGGAGUGCAUUAUGCAAACUGAAGUUUUAAAAUCAUUUCCACUUUCAAAGAACCAAACUUUAAUCUUCCACAAAAAAAUCUAUGUGUAUUGGUUUCUUAGCUUCCGAGAAUAAUAUGCUAAACUAAUCUCUCCCCCCAACCUAUCUCUUUUCAACACUUAGCACACUGACCAAAAUCAAUAAGAAAAGAACACACUUUUUUUUUUUUUUUUCAAGUAGCUUUAUGGGGUACUCUUUCUGAAUUGUCCAUGCAAUGGGGGUCCAUCGAUGACUCCCAACCACUUAAGGUUUAGGGCACCAAGCUUUAAGGAUCUUUCAACCACUAACUCCUCGGAUUUUUCCCCGAACUUUUAAGAAUGAAUUUCUAAUACCCAAGCAUCUACCAUAUGCUAACUCUACCUAUUCACCCUUAUAACGAGCAUUGAGGUCGGUGACUCCCAACCAAUUAAGGCUUAGGGCACCAGGCUUUAAAGAUUUUCACCACAUACCCCUCAGACCUUGCUCAGGUUUCAAGGCAAGCAAACAACUUUCUUUAUUUCAAAGGCUCAUUGGCCUUUUGCAGGGUGUUUCAAUUUUUAUCAAAUGAGGUCAAAUAUACCAAGUCCCAAAAUUAUCCUAAGUCAAGAGGGAAAUAGUUUUUCAUCUUAUAAUCGGAAUCUAAUGUGCACAGUGUGUGGAUAGCUUAAAGUGGAAGAACUAAAUUUAAUUUCAAUAGAAGCUUCAACAAUUGAACCACUUUAGUAAGCAUAAUCCAUACUCUAAGUCAAGUGAAAAACAACAGUUCAAUUUCUCUUGGUUUAAUUUGAAAAUUUUUCCUCAAAAUUCAUGGAGAAAAGAGUAACAAGAGUAAAAAGUAAAAACUACAACUAAUUAACCAAUAUAAUUGCAAUACCAAAAAGAUUUAGCAUACUUCCUUCCUCAUUCCCCCCAACCGAACUGAGCAUUGUCCUCAAUGUGAUAUGAGUGACUGUAUUUAAAGAGAGGAAGUGGUACCUCCUUGCUGAUAUCAAAUUCGAAUAUUGAUUGGGGAAACCACAUGUUUCAAAAAGAAUAAAAGGUGUGAGCAAAGGAAAUAAGAAUAACUUAAUGCUAAGUGUUAACAAGAAAUAUUCAACUUGUAUUACUUUAAUUUCAUUUGAUUACAAUGUAAAAGACAAGUAACACAAGGAAUCCCAAAUAUAGUACCAAAAUACUGGGACUUAUUUUCAACAAAAAAAACAAAAAAAAACAUAGAAAUAUUAGAUAUAUAAUAGUCUGAUGAAUGGUGCUGGGUCUAGGCAGAAGGAUCUGCCUCCUCAGUAGGUACAUCAGCUGGGGCUUGGGGUUCUGGAGGAUGAGACUCUGAGGGAUGAGAGUGUGGCUCUUCUGGAGUAGAAGUGGAGGGCUCUACAACUUGUGGCAGAUCGAAAUGAAUUUGGAGCUGCCUUAAGAUGGCAGCUUGUUGAGCCUGAGUGGCCAACAUCUGCUCUUGGCAUACUCUGAUGGCUGCCAUCUCUUGAGCAAGACUGCUCUGAGAAGCUGUAAGAGUCUCCAAUGCACGGCACAACUCUCGAUAUUCAGAUAUAGGAAUGGCCAUCCUCGACUCAGCUGAUGUGGAUGGCUGAGAUGAAGCUGGAGUAGCUGGUGGAGCUCUAGGAAUGGCAGGAGCAGCAACUGUUAUACCCUCAGGUAUAUGUCUUGGGGAUGCUCUCCUCGCAGCUGGCUGAGGCUGCUCAGGCUGAUCAACUUUGUAGGCCGUCAUGUUAUUCCAUUUAUCAAGAGUGAAUGGCUCACGGCAUAUUCGCUUUCUCUCCAGCUGAUGCUCAGAGGGAUAUCCCAAGUGCUCCAGAAUUUGGCAUAGCAGCCUUGGAAAGAGGAGGGGAAUGCAAUCAGCUCUUUGAAGCUUCUUUCUGUGCACCUUCUCUUCGAAAUAGAGAAGGGCUGCUAGGAUCAGAUGAUGAGGCCCAAAGAAAAAUCCUUCUGACAUCUUGUAAAGAGCUUCCAGGAAGACUCCCCUUCUUUGGGUCCAAUGCUGCAAUGGAUAGAUAUUAUGACGCAAAAAGGCAUCAAUCAAAAACAUAACUGGAGGAAGCUCCCCUCUCAGCAGAUGUGAUCGAUUUGCAGCUCCUCUGGAAAGGGUGCGCACCAUCUCCAGCUCAGUAGGAUUUGCCCAAGCUCUAAAAUUAUCGAAUUGGGUUGGCUUAAAGGGAAUUUGCAGGGCUUCAGCAAUAUGGCACACUCCCAAUAUGCUAUGUCUCCCAUCGAUAGUGAAAUGAAUUAAAGUUGGAUUCCUGACCUCUUUGGUUGUCAUGGAUUGAUAGAAAUCCGUGGCUAUCCGGGGGUAGAAAAAAUCUCUCGGAGCUAGUAGAUGCUCCAUAUGGUACCUCCUCAGCAGCUGGAAUGAUUGGGCAAGCUCUGGCCUCACUCUGAAUGCUGCUAAGUCAAAGCAAAGCUCGGAGUGGAAUGGCCGUGUUCGACAAUCCAAGUUUCCCUCAAUUGGGGGCUGAGGUAGGAUUGACCGCCUGAUUACUUCUUCCAGAGCUGUUUCGGAUGGAAUUUGGGGCUCGGGAAGUGGUGCUUGAGGCUCCUAAGCUUUUGCUUGCGGCGCCGGAGAUGGCACCGGCGACGGAACUGGCAUUGGAAUAGGCGAGGAAACUGGAGACGGCAUUGGAGUUGGAAUUGGUGAAGGCUCUGGAGAUUGCUCAGUCAAAUCAAUGGGUUCUGAGCUUUCCACCCUGGGUCUCUUCUGUAGUGGCUGACCCCCUGACCUGGUAAGGUAUCGUCUUGCCAGAGGCUUUGGCGGCGCGGGCUUUACUGGAGAAGGAAUUGGUCUUGACGGCUGCGAAGGCUCUGGAGCAGAAUCUGGAACUGGCUCCUUUCGCAGACUCUUCUUGCGAUUUGAAGGAGAUGAAGAUUUAGCCCCUCGAGUUCGCGCCAUUUCGGAAUACCGAACUUUGACCGACGUUGCUAAUCGGAGAAGAUGACCGGAGACUUGGACGACGAGGCUCACUGAAGAAGACGAACAAUUUGCGAGAAUGGUGCUCUGAUUUUUGAAACCCUUUUCGCAGCUCAAAUGACCGGUAUAAAUAGGAAAAACGAAAGCCCAAGGGUCAGUUUGAGUUUCGCAACAAAACGUCAAUUUUGCAGCAAAAUGCCAUUUUCGCAGCAACUUCGCAGUGCGUUUCGCAGCUGCGAAAUGAGAGUUCCUGUGUUGCGAAGUGGCACUCGUGUGCCAAAACCACUUUCGCAAUUGCGAAAUACCCUACGAAAUGGGACUUUUGGUGAGAAAUCAUGCAUUUCCACUUCGCAAUGCGUUUCGCAGCUGCCAAAUGGAUGCUACUGUACUGCGAAGUGGCACUCGUGUGCCAAAUUUGCUUUCGCAGCUGCGAAAUACCCUCGCAGAGACUUCUACAGUGUUGCGGAAUGGUUUGGCAACAAAAUGCUCAUUUCGCAGAAGUUUCCUUCACUCUGCGAAAUUUCGCAGAGCUCUGUUUUUCCUCUGUUUUUGCUCUGUUUUUGCUCCGAUUUCGACCCGAUUUUUUUUUUAAAAUUUUGUUGAAAUUUCUUCCACCUAGGAUCAUUCAAAACUAUUAAAACACACCUAAAAACAUGAUUCAAGAUAAAAAACUAAGAUCAAAUGUACGGAAAAAACUUGAAAAUUUACAAAAUUUACAAAAAUUUUGGACUGUGGUAAACCACGUCCAGCAAACCCUUCUUUGCUUAGGCUUUUUGAGGCUCAAGGAGGUUGAUUGCCUCCUUUUCUGGUUUGAAUGGCUCCAUGAAUGGCUUGAGACGAUAUCCAUUGACUUUGAAGCUAUCCUUGCCAUUGGAAUCCAAUAAUUCCACCACUCCAUUGGAACAUACUCGGUGAAUAAUGAACGGACCUAUCCACCUUGACUUGAGCUUCCCAGGAAAGAUAUGGAGUCUUGUGUCAUACAGUAAAACUCUUUGCCCUUCCUGAAAUUCCUUGUUGGAGAUGAGUUGAUCAUGCCACUUCUUCCUCCUCUGUUUUGCAACUUUGGAAUUGAUAUAAGCAUUAUUUCUUAAUUCCUCCAUCUCAUUAAGGUCUAGAAAUCUCUUUUCUUCGGCCUUGAUCAAGUCCAUGUUCAGCUUCUUUAUUGCCCACCAAGCUUUGUAUUCAACUUCCACAGGGAGAUGACAUGCUUUACCAUAGACAAGACGAUAGGGAGACAUCCCAAGAAUAGUCUUAUAAGCUGUUCUAUACGCCCACAAUGAAUCAUGAAGCCUAAUAGACCAAUCUUUUCUGUUGGAAUUCACCACUUUCAUUAAUAUGUUCUUUAUUUCCCUGUUAGCUAGCUCAACUUGCCCGGAAGUUUGAGGAUGGUAAGGUGUAGCCACCUUAUGCUUCACUCCAUACUUGGAUAGCAGGGUUUCAAAAGGUUUGUUGCAAAAAUGAGCACCUCCAUCACUGAUUAUGGCUUUAGGCACCCCAAAUCUUGAGAAAAUGUUCUCUUUAAGAAACUUGAGAACCACCCUGUGAUCAUUUUGUUUACAGGGGAUUACCUCAACCCACUUAGAAACAUAAUCCACCCCCACCAAGAUGUAAGAAUUACCAAAUGACAUUGGGAAAGGUCCCAUGAAGUCAAUGCCCCAUACAUCAAAUAACUCAACUAUCAGAAUGGGGUUCAUAGGCAUUUGAUUUCUUUUUGUUAGCUUUCCAAGCCUUUGGCAUCUAUCACAACUCCUACACAUGAUGUGGGCAUCUUUGAAAAGAGAUGGCCAAGUAAACCCUGAUUGCAAUACCUUCAUGGCUGUUUUCUGAGAGGCAAAGUGGCCUCCACAUGCAUUCUCAUGACAAUGAGAUAGAAUCCCUUGCUGCUCAUCUUCAGGGACACACUUCCUAAUAAUCUGAUCUGCACAAUACUUAAAGAGAAAGGGCUCUUCCCAAUAAUAAGAAUGAAUUUUGGCAAAGAAGUGCUUCCUGUCCUGUGCAUUCCACUCACUUGGAAUUUCACUAGUUACUAAAUAGUUAGCAAUAUGAGCAUACCAAGGAGUUUUCACUAGGAACAUGAGUGAUUCUUCAGGAAAAUCAUCAUUGAUAGGCAAGGGAUGGGAAUUAUGUGCUAUAACUAACCUUGACAAGUGGUCAGCUACCAUAUUCUCCACUUUUUUCUUAUCUUUGAUUUGAAGAUCGAAUUCUUGUAACAGAAGAAUCCAUCUAAUCAACCUUGCUUUUGCAUCUUGCUUUGUCAAUAAAUACUUCAAGGCUGAAUAGUCAGUAAAGACAAUAAUGAAAGACCCCACUAAAUAAGCUCAAAAUUUGUCCAAAGCAAAUACCAUAGCUAACAAUUCUUUCUCUAUAGUUGUGUAGUUCCUUUGAGCUUCAUUCAGUGUUUUACUUGCAUAGUAAAUCACAUAGGGCUUCCCAUCUUCUCUUUGGCCAAGCACAGCUCCUAUAACAAAGUCACUGGCAUCACACAUCAGUUCAAAAGGUAAUUGCCAGUUAGGGGCUCUCACUAUUGGAGUUGUUAAAAAUUUCUUCAGUUGAUCAAAGCUAUUUUGACACCUUUCAUCCCAUAUAAACUUAGCAUCCUUAGCUAACAGCUCACAAAGAGGUUUUGAAAGACUUGAAAAACCUUUUAUAAACCUCCUAUAGAACCCUGCAUGGCCAAGGAACUACCUUACUCCUUUUACAGUUGUUGGAGAUGGUAAUUUGACAAUAAGCUCCACCUUUGCUUUAUCAACUUCAAUGCCUUUUUCAGAGAUGAUAUGGCCAAGGACAAUUCCUUGACGUACCAUAAAAUGGCAUUUCUCCCAGUUGAGCACCAGGUCUUUUUCAAUGCAUCUAUGAAGAACUGCUUCCAAAUUAACUAAGCAUUCCUCAAAUGUACCUCCAUAUAUGGUGAUGUCAUCCAUGAAAACCUCCAUAAUUCGCUCCACCAUAUCACUGAAAAUACUCAACAUACAUCUUUGAAAUGUAGCAGGUGCAUUGCAUAAACCAAAAGGCAUUCUCCUGUAAGCAUAUGUUCCAAAUGGACAUGUAAAAGUAGUCUUUUCCUGAUCUGCCAAAUCAAUUUCAAUCUGAAAAUACCCUGAAUACCCAUCUAAGAAACAAUAGAAUGGAUGUCCAGAGACUUUCUCCAGCACUUGGUCAAUAAAUGGCAAUGGAAAAUGAUCUUUCCUGGUUACAGCAUUCAGCUUUCUAUAAUCAAUACACACCCUCCAACCUGAAGUGAGGCGUGUAGUAAUUUCUUCCCCUUUUUCAUUUUGAAUCACUGUGAUCCCUGACUUCUUUGGUACCACUUGAGUAGGACUCACCCAAGGGCUAUCAGAUAUAGGGUAAAUGAUUCCUGCUUGAAGUAGCUUCAGCACCUCAGCUCGCACCACCUCUUGUAGAUGAGGAUUCAACCUUCUUUGAAAUUGACGAAUUGGCUUUGCUUCCUCCUCCAUAUAUAUAUGAUGAGUACAAACUAAAGGACUAAUGCCUUUCAAGUCAGAUAUUUGCCAUCCUAUUGCUUUCUUGCACUUCUUGAGAACUUCCAUUAAACAAUUCUCUUGAUGACUGGUCAGAGAUGAAGAUAUCACAACAGGACAUUGAUUAUUUUCUUCAAGAUAUGUAUAUUUCAGCUCCACAGGUAAAGGCUUCAGAUUGAGUUUUGGAAUUUCUUUUUCAGCAGCUACCUCCUCUUCCUUAUUGAACAAAGGUAGAAUCUCUUCUAUCUUUCUCCAACUUUGUAGAGUAGCCAGCCCAAUAGGAGAUUCAGACAAACCUUCCUCAUUAUCCACAAGACUUUCAUUCAACUUCUCCUGCAUAUUUUGAUUACAGUCCUCCUCUACCAGAGUGUCAAUAAUGCACACCUCUUCUGGACCCUCUUCUUCUUCCGGAGUGAUUUGCUUUUUAGACAUGUAGAAAAUAUUGAGAUCCAGUGUCAUGUUACCAAAAGUGAGUUGCAUAAGCCCAUUCCUGCAGUUGAUGAUUGCAUUUGAAGUUGCAAGAAAUAGCCUUCCUUCCAAGGAUGAUAGGAACUAAAUUAGCUUCCUUUACAGUAGGAUCUGUAUCAAGAACAAUAAAAUCUACUGGAUAGUAGAAAUUAUCCACUUGAACCAAUACAUCCUCAAUUACCCCUCUUGGAAUUUUCACUGAUCUAUCUGCCAGAGAUAGAGUGAUUGUUGUUGGCUUCAACUCUCCAAGGCCCAAUUGCUUGUAGACAGAAUAAGGAAGCAAAUUCACACUUGCCCCCAAAUCUAACAAGGCUUUCUCCACUACCUUUCCUCCAAUCAUGACUGAAAUGGUAGGACUUCCAGGGUCUUUGUACUUCAAAGGAGACUUACAUUGUAAGAUUGCACUUACUUGCUCAGUCAAGAAGGCUUUCUUGUUUACAGUCAACCCUCUCUUGAUAGUACACAAGUCCUUUAGGAAUUUUGCAUACGUUGGAACUUGUUUGAUCAUAUCCAGCAGUGGAAUAUUAACUUUCACUUGCCUCAAGACUUCAAGGAUUUCAGCUGCAUUUCUAAUCCCCUUUUUCCCAUGUAAUGCUUGAGGAAAAGGUGGAGAAGUUGAUUUCUUCAGCAUUUCUUCCUUCAGAAGCUCCUUCUCUGGGAUUACUUUCAUUGUUGAAUCUGAGUCCUUCUUUUCUUCACUGAUCUCACUCUCUUUAUCUUCCAUUUCCUUCCCUUUCUUUAUCUCUUCUUCUUUCUAAACAUGUGGCUUGGGUGUUGGUUGCUCAAUUUUCUUACCACUCCUUAGAGUGAUCAAGGCUUUGACAUCUUUCAUUUGUGAUGAUUCUCCCUCUUGGCUUUCCACUUCAUGGACACCUUUGGGGUUUUGGUGAGGUUGAGAAGGAAAUCUUCCCUUUUCUUGCAGUGUAUUCAAAUUUGUAAGCCUUGAAAUUGAAUAUUGGAUGUUAUCAAACUUUUGGUUCAUAUCAUUUUGCAUUCCAUCCAUCCUUUUAUUCAACAUACUCUCCACUCUAUCAAUUCUUUGAUCGACUCGAGCAUUGGUGGCUUCUUGCUUUUGAAUAAAAUCUCCCAUUACCUUGCUGAGAUUAGCUAUUGCUUGUUCAAUACUUGAAGAUUGCUGAGAUGGUGGAUCCGGCUGUUGGUACUGAGUUGCUCUGGCCUUCCAUGAGAAAUUUGGAUGAUUCCUCCAACUUGAGUUGUAGGUAUUUCCAUAAGGAGCAUUGUUAUUGGGCCUGAAUUGUCCAACAACAUUUGCUUGAUCUCUAUACAUUUCCCUUUCAGCUGAAAUUGCAGGGCAUUCCUCCACCAAAUGUUCAUAUGAUUGACAAUUGGGACACAGCUUCACUUGCACUGGUGCUUCAGCAACAGCUUGCACUUCAUGUAUUCUUUUCAACUCUAGCUCCUCCAAUCUUCUUGUCAUAGCUGCCAUCUUUGCUUUCAUGUCAUCAUCUUCUUUCAAGGUAUACAUCCCAACCUUAGCAUUGAAAGCAUUCAACUGAGACUUCAUCUUUCCCACUUCUCCUUUAGUUGGUUCAUCCCAUCCCCUUGAAACAUCUGCUACAUAGCUCAAGAAAUCCAUAGCUUCCUCUGGAUUUUUGCUCAUGAAAUCUCCUCCACACAUUGUCUCGAGGAGUUGCUUCAUUGAGGAGGACAUACCAUCAUAGAAAUAACUCACCAAUAGCCAAGUAUCAAAGCCAUGGUGAGGGCAAGCAUUUAUAGCUUCCAUAUAUCUUUCCCAACACUCAUAGAAUUUCUCAUUCUCUUUAGCUGAGAAGUUUGAAAUUUGCCUUUUCAAGCCAUUUGUUCUAUGAGUGGGAAAAAAUUUCUUAAGGAAUUCAGCUUGUAAGUCAGUCCAAGAGCGGAUACUCCUUGGCCUUAAAGAAUUAAGCCAAAUUUUGGCCUUAUCCUUUAAAGUAAAAGGAAAUAACUUAAGCCUCAUCAAAUCAAUUGAAGCUCCUCCCUCUUGGAAUGUAUUACAAACAUCUUCAAAUUCCUUGAUGUGUGCAUACGGAUUCUCACUUUCCAUCCCAUGGAAAGUGGGUAGAAGUGGAACAAGAUAUGGUCUGAUCACUAGCUGCUCUGUAAGGGGCACUAUACAUGAUGGUGCACUCAUACGAGGUGGAUGCAUACGGUCCCUCAUUGAUCUGAAUUCAUUAAGAUUAUCUUGAUGACCUUGGUGACUAUGCUGAUCUUCAGGUGUAGCUUCCAUGAUAUUCAAGAUUACUUCGAAUUCUCUUUUCUAAGGUGUAUCACACUUAACAAGCCUUCCUCCACUAUCUCGUAUCCACUUUGGCAUACACAACUAGUAUCUAUCUGCAACUUAAAUAAAAACAGAGGACAACAAGAGAAACAGGGCUACAACAACAAAAUUAAACUAGGCUAAAUUUUAAAAGAUAAACUUAGAUUAUGAAUAAAUAAAUAAAGAAUGAAAAUUAGUAAAGUGAAAGAAACUUUACCAACUUGUGAUGAAAAUCACAAGUGCUCAAAAAAUGGUAUCACUAUAAACUUGACACUCAUUCCUCGGCAACGGCGCCAUUUGAUUCGUGCCCAAUUGGUGUCUCAGCUGAUUCGUGUCCAGCUGGUGCUCCUUGAUUGAGGGAGUAAUCAACAAAAUUUAUUACCUAUAACACCAUACACUAGGGUAGAAAAGAAAAAGCUACUAUAGUAUAGUGGCUCUAGGAUCGUUCACUGGGAAUGAUUAACAAGCAAUCAAUGAUACCAAUUCCAAGUGAAUUGGUCUUGUUUCAUUUCAAGUUUAGCUUAAGAAGUAAAAAUACAAACUUUGAUUGGUAAAAGUUUAGACUUAAACUAACUAACAUAACAAAAGUUUGGAAUAAUUUAGGAAGAAAAGCAUUCCUUGGAGAGUUAGGUUCACUGGGGUGGUUCCUCAUGCAAAAGACAUAGCUCCGGUCAGAUGGUUCAUUUCCUUGCGUUAGAGAUUCAACAUAUAGUCAAUUCUCUACCCGGUGUUAUACAGAGACUCCUUCAAUUAGAUUUCACUUUAAUUCUCUCACUGAUGCAACUUGCAAUGGUUCAUGCCUCUCACGAGCACUUACCAUUCAAGAUGAUCUUUAACCUUGGACUUCCCUUCACAAACUCGCAAGAGAUAACUAAUGGAUGUCUCGUUAGAGUCCAAAAGCUUACCAAGUGUUGGUAAUUCCAGAAAAUCCUACCUUAAAGUCACCUCCCAGAGGCUCGCAAGGGGUAAACUAGUGCAUUUCCAAGGUUGGAAAUCACUUGCCUUACCAAGUGUUGGCCCAGAUGACUCUAAGGUAUUUUAAGUUAACUAAAAACAUAGAAAUCAUUAAAGGAUUUCACUUCCUCUUCAUUACUAGCUAAAACCACAAAGCUCUGCAUUUUUGCACUUGGAACCUUCCCCGGCAACCUUAGCUCCAAGGAACUAGAGGUUUAGUUACUCAUUCUCUGCGGAAAACUCCUCAGAGAAUUCAUAACUUAGAAAUAAAAUAAAAAUACAAAGUGAGAAGGUAAGGCAGUAGAAAGAAUUGAACUUUACUUGCUUACCAAAAACUUUACAAAAGGCUCUCUUCUCCUCUUUGAGAACAACUCCCGAGAGGUAUAUAUAUGCAUAAUAUAAAACUAAUUAUUACAUAGAUAUUUAGUCUUUUUACUAACUUAAAAGCUAAGGAAUCUUGUAAUUGGUGGCUUACAGGGAGUAUUUUGGGAUUUAGACAACAAAAAUCUAAUGGAAAAUAUCUCCCAAUGUCGGUAGCAAAUAUCGGGAGGCUUCAGGAACCAUUUCGCAGGAGAAAAAUGGUGUCUGCGAGAUUUCGCAGACACUCAAGAGGGCUGCGAAAUAAUUUCGCAACACCAAGCUAUCUUCACAGGGCUGCAAAGUUGGCUUCCACCUUGAGGUUCCCAGCUUCCUUCUUGCGGCAUAAAUCGGGCAUCGUCAGAAGGAGAUACACCCUACUGUACAAAAAGGCUGCGAAAUCACUUCGCAACAAAAGGGUGAUUUUGCAACACUUUUGCAAAAAGCUUCCUUCAGCUUGGAGUGAUUGGCUUGCAAUGGCUUCAACUUCUUCGUUUCAACUCACUCCGAAUUGCGCACCGUUUGAAGCAUUGGAUUGUUGACUUCCUGAGCUUUGAAAUGGUAUAUAGCAUGCAUCAUUUGGACUUCAGAAAGUGCUCCAAAAGUGGCUGCUAUGACUGUCAUCAAGAAUAGGCUUCAUGGCAGAUUCUCUUUGCUUUUUCUCCUUGCAAUCCGGAUUUACUCUUGGCAAAUGACUUCUAAGCUUUGCCCAAGAUUCCUCAUAGCUCUUCUCAGUCUUGACUUGCUUUGGUGAUCAAAAUACUAACAAAAACACCAAAACUUACACAAAGUGAUUAAAAUUGCUUUAAAGGAUCCUUAACAUGCCAAUUGAGUUAAAAGGCCUAAACUACUACUCAAAAGUGUUUAAAAGGAUUAAUUAUAGGCUAUCAAUUAGCACUUUUUGAGUAGUAAUCAAUCUCCAUGGACGGAGAUCACUUGCCUUACCAAGUGUUGGCCCAGGUGAUUUAAAGGCGUUUUAAGUUAACUAAAAAGAUAAAAACCAUUAAUGGGUCACACUUUCUCUUCAUUAAAAACCAAAACAACAAAACUUCCAAUUUAUGCAUCAGGAAACUUACCCGGCUUUCUUCACUCCAAGAGACGAAGAGCCUAGCCUCUCAUCCUCUGAGGAAAAAUCCUCAGAAUUUGAUUGGCUAGAAAGAAAACUAAGGAGAAAACAAAAAUAUAUAGGAAAAACAGAGCAAGUGCUCUGUAAAAUAUAUUUCUUCCUUAUACAAAAGGUUGUCUCCAAGAACAAGCUCCCGAGAGAUUGUAUUCUAAAGAAGAUUACAAACUAUAUAGAGGAGGUUAUUCACCUUUUGUUCUUACUUAAAGACUAAGGAAUCCUAUGAUAGGUGGAUUACAAGGACAGUUUGGGGAUUUAGACAUCAAAUAUCUAAAGCAAAAUAUCCCAAAAUGUCGGUCGGAAAUAUCGGGAAGCUUCAGAAGAACACCGCAGCACUGUGCAAAAUUCGGGUAGUCUGAAAUGUCGGCUGCAGAUGCUCUCCGGAUGAGCGCUAUCAGAAGAUCCGGAUAUGCCUGUCCGGGGAAUUUGAAACGCCUCCUCUCCCAUCCGGCGUCAGGGGAUCCAGAUGUGAAAUAUCCGAUCAAAGGAUCCGAACAUGUCUGACCGGACAUAAUUUCGGAUGAGAUAUCCGGACGUCGCAAGGGGGACCGUCUGCGUGUGUAAGGUGUAGGGACCCAUCUGACUCAACUCCAUCCGGAUUCCCCAAGAGGACAUGUGCCGCAAUGCUAUCCGGACUUCCUCAGGGAGAAGCACAUGUCACUCGUGAACAUCACACUCCGGAUGAUAGCAUAUCUUAUCCGGAUAUGUUUGUCCGGAUGGAAAACAUUGACUAAAGUGAGCAAGCCUUGCUACUUUAUUCCGAAAGCCUACCACAGCUCACGUUCCGCCGCCCUCCAAUGGUGUGUUCGGACUCCCUGUCUGGACAUCUUUGCCAUGGAUUCCAAAGAACUCUCCUCAAUCUCGGAUUGCUUUGGUGAUCAAAAAGCUAUCAAAACACCAAAACUUAACACAAUUUGAUUAGAAUUGAUUGUAAGGGUCCUUAAUAUGUUAAUUGGGUUAAAAGGUGAUAACUACUACUCAAAAGUGUUUAAAAGAGUUAAUUACAAGCUAUCAAAUAAUACUUUUUGAGUAGUAAUCACAUAUAGACUAAUACAUGGUAAUCUUUUGUUUCUUUCCCAUUUAUGAAGUGUUUUAUGAGAUAUGGUCUCAAGUAGGUGAGUAAUCUACAUAGAAGAUAUUCAUGGUCUAUGUUGGGAAAGACUUCCAACAUGAAAGAUCUAAAUUUAUCAAGGAAAAUAUUGUCCAGGGAUUUUGUUACCAUUCAAGGAGCUAAACGUUUGUAUGUUUGAGAUUUUAGAUAGAAAACAAUGAUAAAAAAUGACCUUAUUUGAUCUAACCCCAUUUUGGAAAUGUAAUUUUCAAAUAAUCCACAUGCUAAGUUGUUGUAUUAGUUUGUGUUGUGAUUAUAAAAAGAUUUAGACAAAUGCCUACAUCAAUGGAUUAUAUAUUAGGUUCAUCAUGGUAUUUCAAAAUGAAUUGCAACUACAAGUGAACAUAAGUAGGACUAUUGUUGGUGGUUAUGACUCAUGAUGCCUAAUGACAAAACUAGUACAUAAAUUGAAGUAUAAAUAGGAAAUUCAAUAGGAUAUGAAUCUAGUUGUGUGUGAGCAUUCACAUCAAAUUUGUAGGGUAUGAGUAAGGGCAAUUGUAGUAUCAUGGAAAGCUAUAGAGAAGUUUUGGAGAGUUGCAAAGUAUUGGGAGCUUUAAUGAGAUAUAGGAAUAGUAAAACUGUGACAAUUAAUCUAUUGGGGUUCUAAGAAAGUUACUAUAUACAUAAUAUUACUCUAGUUAUUUUUUAUAGUUUGAAGUAACAUCAAAGGAUAAGAAAUCAUACUAACCAUGUUUGUAUUUCUAAACAUGCACAACAUGCUAAUACAAAAGCCCUUAGGAGGGUCCAUAGAAAAUUUACUCUAUGAAUGACAUAAACAUUUCUUUCAAGUUUGUAUAGUUGAUUAAACAAACCUAUUGUCCUCUGUGCAUUAUCUUCCUUUUAUUCAUUCACAAAGCAUCUAGAAGUCCCAAUUGGUAUGAAAAAAGAAAUGCCUACUUGAUACAUAAAAGGCACCCAUCCUUACUAAUUUGCUUAAAGUAGAGGGCUCAAAUGUUUUCUUUACCAAAAAUUAGGUGAAGAACACCUCAAAAAUUAAUGGACACUGAGAGAGUAGAGUGGAAUCAGAGGUUAGAGAAGUUGAAAAAUCUAAUUUAAAAAAGAGAUGCUAGUUGAAGAAGUUGUAUCCAAUUCUAAGCUUUCAAAUAAAAGAAAUUUUAUUUAGUACCCUAUGAAGCAUAAAGAUCUAGCUAAAAUUCCAUUAGUGAUAAAAACUAACAGGAAUCUCUUUCAACAACUUAGUAAGCUUAUUAAAGAUCAAGUGAUAAUGGCAGAUGCCUCUAUAUUCUUUGAGUUAGAAAAUGAGUCACUAAGACACUCUUAUCUAUUGAAGCCUAUUGAUGCAACUACAUUACCUUUUGUACUUUACCAAGGAAAAUUUUCUAAACUAGUUGAACUUAAGGAAGUACUAGUAGAGUAUGCCUCCACCAGUGUAUACUCUACCAAUUCAGAAUAUGAAAAAGGUUCACUAAGACAAAGUUACCCUAUAGAGUCUAGUUAAUUUGAGUAAAUUGCCAAUGGUACCAUACUAGAAAAAUAAUUGUUGAACGGAAGAACUUUGACAUUAAAGAAGUAUUGGUUGAAGACAUAUUAACCAACUCAGAUUGUGAGGUUAAGUUGCUAUGGCACCAACACUAACCAGAACGAUUGGACUUCACUUAGCUACCUUUGGUAUUGUUUAGAAAUGAAGUUUCUAAAACAGAAUGAAACUUUGAGAAAGAAUGGUGGGAGGCUUAUACAAGUUCAAAGUCAGAAAAGGACUAACCAAGUGUGAAGUACCCCAUGGAACCAGUAGUUUUGGGCAAAUUUCAUCCUCUUUCUACCUUAUGUGAAAAUCCAGAUGUUAUAGAAUAUAAAUUAUUGGUUUUGGUUUUUUUUGAAUUAUUGGCUUAUGUCCACUCCAUUCACUCUUUGCCUUAUGUGAAAAAUAAGAUUUCAUAAAGGACAAGUAUUAAAUAGGUGAUGCUUAAAACAUAAAACAGAAAAUAUACCAUGGGCAAGAAAAUGAGCUUCAAAGAAAGUACCCUUAUCAAUUAAACCAAAAUGGAAAUUUGGAAUCCUAGGUCUAGAAAUAUUUUUAGAAAUUAUUUUGUCAAAACAAACAAAACCUAAAAUUUUUUUCCAUCAUCUAAUUGAAAACUUUCUAAUAUCAAGUCCAAAAAAAGAAAAAAGAAAUAAAAAAAAAACCAUCUUAUUGACCCAUUAAACAAUACAUGUAAGCAACAAUCAAAAAUCGCAAUAGUUAAACAAUCAAGUAAAUUAGAAAUCAUAAAAAACACAAACGAAAUAAGUCCACUAAUUUGAUAGGGAAAUAUUAAGAAUAUAUGAGAUUAUCUUGAAAAAACCUAAGUGAGAAAUUGGAAAAGAAAUCUACUUGAAAAAGUUAAAAGUACAGUAAUGGCAUGCAAUAUGAGGAUAAAAGGUCUUCAGAUCUUCAUAUCAUAACAAUGAGGGUUGAGGGUGAAUAUGAGAUGUUCAAAUUGUGUUAUGGUGCUUUCCAAAUAUUACUUUUAGUAUUAAAAAAAAUCCAAAUAUUUUAACUUUUUCUAUUGAGUCGAUUUUUAUUUUUUUUAAAUAAGUGAUAAGUUAAGAAAAAGUUAAAAAAAAAAAAUAGCACGUAAAACUUGAACCUAUAAUAAAUUUCAUCCACUUGGUGAUGUUUAGGAAUUUGAUUUAAAAAGGUAAAAAUCAGGUUCUAGAUGAAUAUUUGAGUUAUGGAACUUUGGUUGAUUGCGAAUGACCAUGAAUCCUAAAAUCUCUAAGAUCACCCUACUUAAAAAACCCUUGUUUUCUCUAACUUCUAUUCUCACAGUUGGAUAGUGGAAACCCCUAAACUUAAAUCAUUUGAAUUAAUAUUGUCAAUUUAAUUUUCUUUAUUUAGUUAUAUUUAAUAAAAAUCAAUUCAUAUACCAUUUUCAUUUUUGGAUUUAAAUUAAAACAACUUAUUUAACCUAGUAUUGGUGAGUUUCUAUGGGUUAAUUCCUAAAGAUGAUACCCAAAAUGUUAUAAAAGUAGUAAUAACUCUUUUUCUAGUUUUUCUUGGUCAAAGUUGGUAUGUAAUUAGACUUAAGUAUUUUGGUACAACAAAGAAACGCAAUUAGGUAGCACAAAAAAGAGUCAAGUAAUUGGGAAAACAAGUACAAGAUCAAACCGAUAAAUUAGAGAAGCAAGCUUAAUGGUUGGAAGAGAAAGCUCAACCACUAGAGGAGCAAUCUCGGUGACUAGAUGCAAUUACCUAAAACCAACAUAGCAUAAUUUCAUCAUUGCAAUCAUCACUAUCUAAUGUUGAUGAGAUGAAAUUCCAAUUCAUGUUAGCACAAAUGUCCUUUUAAGAUUUUUUGUUUUUUUGUUUGUUUUUUUUUUUUGAAUGAUUUCAUAAAAUUUGGUUGUACCAUGUUACUAAGGGUUUUUUCUUUGACAUAAUUUUUGUUCAACAUUCACUCUAUGACUAUACACAAGUUACAUUGUUGGUGUUGAAAUCAAAUAUAUAUAUGCUUAAAGGUAAUAUUUUGUUAUGAAUUUUCUAUGCUUAAAAGUAAUCUUUUGUCAUUUUUUUUUGUAGCUUUUGAAGGAUAUAUUUUUACUAUGAUACUUUUUCAUGAGUCAAAAAAUAUUUUCCCAUGAUUUUUUUGGGGUUUAAAGGUAAUAUUUUGUCAGAAAAUUUUAUGAUAGGUAAAAAUAAUCUUUUUUUUCAUGUUUUUUGUGCUUAAAAGUUAAUAUUGUGUUAUAAAAAUUUUUAUGCACGCCUAAAAAUAAUCUUUUACUAUGAAUUUUUUUUUAUACCUAAAGAUAAUAUUUUGUUAUGAAAUUUUUUCAUGUUUAAUAAUAAUCUUUUGUCAUAAGGGUUAAUUAUAUUUACCUCAGAGAGAUAAGUGAAAAUAACAAAUAAGAAUGCUGAGAAAGGUAUUUGAUGAAAUUUUAAAAUAAUGGUGACUCAAUGUAUUUAAUAUAAACUUAAGAGAGGUGAAUGAAAUUUAUCCUUUGUUAUAAAUGGUUUUUUAAGAUUGGAAGUGAUAUUGUGGCUUAACAUUGGUUUUUCUAGUAAAUUAAAACAAUUAGUCACCAACUCAUGCCAAGGAAGCUCCCACAAAAAUUGUUUUGCACUAAAAAUUAUUUUAUAGUGAACUAUUAUUUUUUAGUCAUCACUUCACUUACUUUGGGGCGAAUCUCAUAUUUGUUGAAGUUUAUGAAUCCAAAACUUUCUAUUUGUUUAUUUUCAAAUUUAUAUAACAAACUUAGAUAAUGAAAAUAGCAUAACAAAUGGAGGACAUGCAUGUGUUUUCACUAAAAAAAAAGGGUUUUCUACAAAAGUACAUCAUUUUUUUUAAAUAUUUAUUAAAAUACUAUUGUACCAAACUAUUUCUAAAACUAUGACAAUUUACCCUAAGUGAGAUUCCACGUAGACUUCAUUUGUUGAAAAGACAAGUUCAAUAUAAAAUAAGAACUCGUUUUUUCAAAAAAUGAGUUUAGUGUAAAAUUUAGAACUCGUUAGUUGAAAAGAUGAGUUUAAUGUUAAAUGAGAACUCAUUUUUUCAACAAACAAGUUCAAUGUAAAAUUCAGAACUCGUCUAUUGAACAGAUGACUUUAGUGAAAAAUUCAGAACUCGUCCAUCGAAAAACAAGUUCAAUGUAAAUAUUGUUAAGUGAGUUUGUUUAUUUGUUUCCGAAUCUUAGUUGAAGUCCAAUUCAAAUUGAGUUUGAAUUAAAAAUACUUAUUAAUUAUAAUUCAAUCCAAUUAUUAAAAUUGAUUCAUCCAAACCCGUUUAACAACAAAAGCGUAUGGAUUGAAAUGAAAUGUAAAAGAUAAGUAAACAUGAGCUCUAAUAAAACAAGAUCAAUUUAGUAUUGGAUUUGAACUAUCCUAUGCCAAAGGAAUGCUUAUGGUUAUAGUAAAAUAUAAUUUUUCACUUUAAUUGGUUCUUUUGACUUAUGGGUUAAAAGGACUUGGAUUGAAAUGAAACAAAAAGAAGAGGAAUGAAUGUGUUCCAAAAUUAUCAUAAUGGGUUUCAACUCAAAUAAAUCAAAUUUAAAUAAAAUUGUAGGUAGGUUGUUUGAAGAUUGUUCAUGAUCUUAAUCUAGAUAGGCCGACACUAGGCUUUUUACACGGAUAUUAAUAAAAAAGAAGGAUUAACCUCACAAUUUCAAAAUAUAACCCGGACUCAAAGUGAGUAAGAACAUGUUUUUGCUACUCUUGAUCUUGGGGCUUUAUACAGUGCAAUAGAUAAAAAAUGAAAAAAAUUCAAGAUUUUGAAUUGCAUUACAGGCAAAGACAUUUCAAAUUUUCAACACUUUCUACAUCUUAAAAGCAUUGCAUCACAGAUUUGACAUUUUCUUCAACAUUAAUAAAACAGUCUAAAAUCAGAUUUUGUUGCAUAACUUAUUUAAGUGAACAGUAAAAGACAACAUGCAUAAACUACUAAUCACACAAAAGGAAACACAUCCAUUAUAGGGUCAGCCUUAUAUUUUCCACAAAACCAUGUAUAAUAAAAGAAACUACGUAUAUAGCAAGAAACAUCGUAAAGGAAUGGAGUCCUAGAAUAUGCUCAUGUUGUCAUCUAUUAGAUUAGCUGAAACCACAUUGUUGAUCACCUAUUUACAGUAUUUAAAUAAAACCAUUCUUUCAUAGCAUAUACAAAAAUUAUACAUAAUAGACACUUAAAUAGAAAAGUUAAGCAUUAAAGAAUCCAUAUUCCUGGCUAUGAAACCCCAUGGUUGAUCACCAAUUUACAUUAUUUGAAUAAAACCAUUCUUUCAUACCAUAUACAUAGAUAUCAUUUUCUUGAACAAAAAUUAUACAUAAUAAACACUUAAACAUAAAAGUUAAGCAUUAAAGAAUCCAUAUUCCUAGCUAGCUUCCAUAACUUUUUGAAUUGUUUCAACUUGAUCAGAGAUCUCUAUUUUCCUAAGAUCAAUGACAACAAUAUUUCUUUGCAAAAAGGAACAAUGAGCUUCCCAAGUCUUUGCCCUAGUGGAAAAAUAGAAUUUUUAGGCAAGGAUUAAGCAUUAUCAACUAAAUUUAUAUAGAUUAGUUUGAAAAAUAGUUUAUUAUUAUCAACUAACCACAAGUUCCAUAAUUUUUGUAACACUUAAAGAAAAAUAAUGAAUAUUCAUUUUCACAACUUUAUGCUUCACUAUUUUUUUUUUUUUUUGAUACUAAAGAGAAAAAUGAAAUUAUAUUCCCUUUCCAAACCUUCUAUACUCAAGCUAGAUAUUAAUAGAAGAAAAAUAAAGUAUAUAUUCCCUUUCAAAACCUUUAACUUAUACUAAGUCCUUCAACUAAAUGUUAUCAUAAAAAACAACCAAGGAAUUUGAGUUUGUGUGUUAACUAACAUUGGGAAUCAUUCAUGACCUGGAAAUGCUAGAAAUGAAAAAAUAUUUAGAAUAAUAGACAAAGUUAAGGACUAAGAUGCAACUUCAAAGAAUUGGGCACAAAAUGUGUUUGAGUCAUCUACAUACAUUUUUCUAACCCAAUCAUAAUAUUUCCACUAGAGAAUGUAACUAGCAAACAUAAGUUCUAUUAUUUAAAAUCCUUGUAACUAUCCCCAUUCUAAUCGGAGCUUCGUUUCCAAAAAAUGGGUUAUGGCUUAGUGGUCGAAUUUCAAUUAAGGGGUCAUUACUAUGUUGACAUGUUCUCAUUCCUAAUGAUGUUCAUAUUUUGUAUAAGGAUAAGCAGAUGUGGGCUUUGGACCACAAAAAGCUUCAGAGAAUGGUAGCCUUUCUACAUUGUAGUUGUAGUGUUUUGGCAGUUUUGAGGUCCACUUAAAUUUUCUAUGCCUUUCUACUUAGGUAGAAAAUAACAAUGCCCUGCACAAUAGUUCCAAUUGCCCAAGAAUAAAAACAAGUGUCAUGCCUUUACAUUAAGCAAACCAUAUCACAUUAUGUUGCUUGAGUACUUUACUACUCAUUGUUCCAUUCAAUUGCUUGACUCAAUAAAGCUUUGUACCAACUACUUGAAAUAUAACAAUUUAUCUAGGCAUAAAAUAAAACUAUACCACAAUGGCUAAUCCAUGAUGUUACUUGACCAACAUUAGAGAUGGGAGUACUCACAAAUUGGAAAGGCUAAGUUACAAAGUAAAUAAGAAGAAAGAAACUCACAACAUAACCAUGCUUUUAAAUGUCAUAGUUCCAGCAAGAUUGCUAGCAACAAGUAAUCCAAUGAAAACAAAAAACACAACCUGUUCAAAUUUGAUUGAGCUUAGAAUUCUAACACAAUGUCAAUAUCAAUUAUCAGAAGAUGGGAUUUAGAACCAUCUUAGAACAAUGUUGAUAGAACACAACACAAGAAUUCUAUGUUGGCUACAACAUGAUUUAAUCUCAAUUAGAAUUUGCACAUAUGAAGAUGAAUGAGAUUAAUUUUCAUGUGUAAAGUUUUUGUAGUCUCAUUGGUUCAAGUAAAUUCUUUAUAUUUAGUAUCUAUAAACUGGUAUUAGUCAAUUCCAAGCCCCUUAUUUCACCAUGUAGGUUAAUGAAACGUAAGGGAAAAAGAAUAAAAUACCUAAGAACUUGAAAAUAUAGUCUUCAAUGAGAUAUAAUCACCAAAGCAGGAACUGAACUGUUAUACCAGUAGUUAUAGAAUUUGACACUCCACCAAAUAGUCUCCACAAAGGGAUGCCCAUGCUAUUAGCAACUACAUCAAAGUCAAUAUACUAAAAACAUUAGAAUUUUAUUGAUAAAAGGAUAUGAAGAUGCCCUAAUAAGAAAAAUCAAUAUACUAAACAAGAAAUAAAUACAUAAGUUAUAUCAACUUCCAUGUUUGUGCUUAUAUUUCUUUGUUACUACUAAGGAGAAUGAUAUAUUUAUUGAAUAUAUAGCUGUAAACGCAAAACAAACAAAUAUUUAUUUCUACGAACCAAAAAUGUUCUUCAACAACAAUAAUGAGUAGGAUUUUAGAGGCAAAUAAAUAAAAACAGGGAUAUUAAAAUAAAAAAAGCCAUGAAAGAUAUACUCAUAGCAAGUAUAAACUGUUGUCUAACCCAAAAAAACAGUAGCAAAACCAAACUUUUAAUUUUUGUUAUUACCUUCUCAAGUAUAAAAAACACCAAGGUAGUAGGUCUCUAAUAUCCUAGAGCUUUGUAACACAAAACUAUCUAACAAGUUUUAGUAAUUGUUGAAAACUCAAUUUGCAACAAAAAUAGCAAUUGUCAGAGUUAUUUUUAAUUUGUUCUCUUCUUAAUGCAUUCCUUGUAAUAAUUAAUUUCUUCUUUCCUUUUAUCAAAAAUAUAUUACAGAGAAAGCAUAAGAAAUGUAUUUUAGUAGACCCAAGGAGAAUUCCAUUUCAAAUGACACAAGCAUAACCUCAAACAUGAAAUGUAUCUUAACAUAUCAUAGACCAUAAGAAGCCUUAAAUAAGCUCUAACUACUACUAUCAACAGGAACAUAAAACAAACAUUUCCAACAAAGCAUUACAUAAAACACUUACCAUAUGGAAAAGGAGUGUGUUAACCAUUGGAAGCAAAUGAUGUUUCCUCAGGGCGAGUACUCUUUAGUCGACAAUUGGAAGAGAUGUAAUAAGCCUCAUAUGAUCCCCUGUAAAGGCAAUGACAUUAACAACUACCAUCUCAAUACAUAAAUAGAUUAUGAAAAUACCAUCAAUUAACCAAAGAAAUAGUCCACUUAUUGUCGAUAGUUAAAUAAAAGAGAACUUGACAAAACCUUGAGCUAUCCAAAAGAAAAAGGUUAGCAUAGGAUUAUUAUAUAACUACACCUAACAAUAUCUUCUAUGCACCAUAUUGUAAUUAUAAUACAAUCAUCAAUUAGAGGGAUCAAGUGCCACAUGGAGGGGUUGUCCUCUUACGUCUUAUAUGUCUUUGGUAAGUCACAAUAGAAGUAUGGACAUCAGAGAUAAUGUGGACAUUAAGUGGAACAUUAGAAGUGGCUUAAACUUCAGAAGCAACCAGAACCUUAGAAACAACCAACACAUUAUAAGAAAUCGGAACAUCUGAAGCAACCAAAACACUAGAAGCAAUUGGAACAUCAGAAGUGACAUCUAUACCAUUUACAUUAUCUAUAGGGUUUGUUAUGACAUCAUCAAGAGGAAAAUCAAUAACAUGAGAGGAACUAAUCCAUCAUGUUGUAUAUGUGUACUCCCUUGUCCUUGACAUCGUACUCGACCUUGGCCUUUAUGAGGUACUACUGGAGCUAGAAUAGAUGAGGAUGAUAUCAUGAAUGAUGUCGAUUGUUGAUGAUAUGAUGUUGGGGGUGCUAUAAGGUUGAAUAAGUGUCUGCCAUGAUGUGGAUGGUCAAUCAUCUAUAGGAAUCUGCUCUUGGAUAAUAGGUGUUACAUCAGUCUAAGAGUAUUGAUGUUGCUUCAUAACAUGUCCUCUACACCUCUCUCUUCCAUUCUCUCCUACCUCGUCAUGAAAAUAAAAGUGAGACUGUGUGAUAGGAUGACUAAUAUGUAAUCGACUUAUCUUAUCAAUUUCUUGCAAGGUCUUACAAGACAAUGAAUUUAUAUCUUUCUUUAUUGUUGGUGGAGUAUUUGGCCUUGACAACUCAUUCCUACAUGUCCAAAGUAGAAUAUGUUAGUUAUAAUGGAAGGGAAACCAAUAGAGAAUGAAUGAAAAUGUAAUAUUCUUGAAAUUACCAUAAGCCCAUGGAAAGAUCCCUACUUAAUGAUAAAUCGAUGUGUGAUCGAAUGAUACCACUGCAUAUAAGGGUCAUAAUAUGAAAUAUCUCCAAAUACCAACUCAGUACUAACUACAUGAUCACGACGAUGACUUUAUCUUUCUAUAUACUCUUGAUUCUCAACCCUCUAAUAAAGAUCAUGUCAACCUCAUAAGUCACUGCUAUGUAGUUUAUUGCUAGUAUCACAUGACUUUGGUAUAUGUUGACUCAUACCAAAUUGGCGUAGAACCCAGUUUGGCUUAUGCUAAUCAAUAAUAUGGAAAAAAAAAAAAAGUGGUGACACAAUAUGCGAAAUGUCAUCACCAACAAUAUAGUAGUUUAGCAAUGUAGAUAUGAUAUCAGACGUGUAAGACUGCCAUAUAAUGUGACUUAGCCUCUGUAUAUGAAAGGUAAAUCUAUAUUGGCGAAUGACAUACAUGGAUACCUCUAUGAUAGAGAAAACAUCUUUCCACCUAAGACAAAGUAAUAACAUGUUAGUUGAGAUCAAAUAUAACUAAAGUUAUUUAUGAAUUUUUUACAAGAAAAUAUCAACUUUUGUAUAUACCAUGUACCCGAUAGAGAUGGUGGGAAUGGAAGGCCAUCAUCACCAAUGAUAUCAUUUGGAAAUACCUCAAAUCUCAGAGGGACAAUACAUGGAAAUCUCUCUCAUGCCCAUAGUUCUAAUAAUAUAAGUGGGUUAACUAUAUCGCGUGCCUAAACAUGGGAUGCUCAACACAUCUUCCUAUAGAGCUAAGAUAAGUAAGCAUUACCCUAACAAUACCUACUAACAACCUUAAAAUCUUAUAAAAAUUGAAAAAACAUGAGAUGCACAAAGCAACUAGACUUGUUUGCAAAUAAACAUAUUCUAAUAAGCUGCAAGAUAUAUGCUUUGGCAUAACAUUGAAUAGCAACAUCAUUAGCAUUAAGGGGUAGAGUGGGAAAUUUCAUUGAUAACCAUGUCAUAUUAAGUCAUGAUCCAUCCAAGUCAUCCUUCUUAGGCAUGUGUCCUAACAAAGACUCAAAUAUCUUAAGCCAUUGUUGUGACAUCAAAGCAGUAAGAUGAAGUCCAUCAACUGGUAGUCUAAGUAUAAUGGUGACAUCUUAUAGAGUAAUCAUCAUCUCCCUAUGUGGCAUGUGGAAUGUAUGCAUCUCAAGGCUCCAUCUCCCAACCAAGGCAAUGACUAAGUGUCAGUCUAAUGUAACAAACCCAAGUCAUGCUAUGCCAUAGAAUCCCCCUUACUGCAAAUAUGGAAUAAUCCUUCAAUCUAGUGACAUUGUACGAUGAAACAUGGCCUUAAGUCGUCUACAAUGAAGAAUUUGUGUCCUAGAUACCUCUAUAUCCCAUAAAAUAUGAGAUUAAUGUACAUGUUGUGAAGACAACACUAAUGAAUCAUAAGAUUAGGGAUCCAUGAGACCUAUAAAACAAGGUUUCUUAUUGUAUAUUUUUCAAUAUUUUAAAAGUUCAUACAUCCUUAAGAGUUUACAUUGGUAAGAGUUCAUACAUUACCAAAAAUUCAUACAUCACCACAGUUCAUACAUCGAUUAAAGUAAUAUAUCAUGAAAAGUUCAUACAUCAUUAAAAGUUACAUUGGUAAGAGUUCAUGCAUUACCAAAAGUUCAUGCAUCAUCAAAAGUUCAUAUAUCACCAAAGUUCAUACAUCGUUACAUAUUUCAAAAUUCAUUCAGAAGGGAUGUUAAAGGAUUGUCUUUGAUAUUUGCUAGGACUGUUGCAUUGAUUAUGACUCUCUUACUUGUAUGCUCCACACCUAACCUUUACACUAGGUUCUCUCCAAUUCAUCCCAUUUCGUAUGUGUGAUGAUCUAAGUCGAUCUUAUUCUCGUAACAUUGUUGGAUCGAGAUGCAAAAUUAGGAAAUUUGGUUGAGGCCAAUAGUCUUCAUGUAGUAUUGGACUAAAUUCUAGGGCAUAACAAGCUACAUAUUUUUCCAUUCUCUAAUAGGAAUCUAUGAAUUUCCAAUUGUCUAACCUUGCAUAAGCACAAACAGCUAGGCCAUAGGAACAAGGCAACCCAAAUGAUUGCCAUUUGUUACAAGUACAAUCACUUUCCUUAAUUUUCACAAUUUGCUUAUUGUUGCCCUUAUCCAUACAAAACCCAUGAACAACAGUGGUUAUCUCAAAGACCUCAUUCGUUCGAUGAAAUAUUGUAACACUAUGUCCACUUGCCUAAGCCUUCCAAUUGCUAAUCUUAUUCUUGGCAUAAGAAAUGUAAAGUUCACAUUUUUUGAUUUUGGUUGUGUUUCUACUCUACGCCUUUCAAAGUAGGCAACACACUUAUAAAGUGAAUUGCACUAGUGCAAUGAUAGGCAAUAUAUGGGCUCCCUUAAACACCCCAUUAAUACUCUCUACAAUAUUUGUUGUCAUACAUCCAUACCGAAACCCCUUAUCAUAUGCUUGUGUCCAUUUCUCUUUCUCUACUUUUUCAAAGAAAUGAACACACUUCUCAUUCAACUUUUGUAGUUUCUCCAUGCACAGUUGAAACUUGCGAGGUUGAUGUUGAGAUUCAACCUUGUACACUAAGUCUUUCAAGACUUUGUUUUAUACUUCUUAUUGAAAUUUCUUGCCACAUGUCUUAGACAAUAUCUAUGAUGAGCAUAGGGUGGAGUCCAUCCAACUUUGAAAUUUUGUAAUUGAAGUUACAAUCAAUAGCUUGCCUGUAUACUUUCCAUAUAGGAAAGUACCAUCAAUUUGGCCUAUAAUGCUUGAAUUCUUCUAUAGUAGCUCCAAAUGCCCAAAACAUUCUUUUAAAUCUUACAUUGUCAUUAAAGUUUCCUAAGGGAGUUGUUUUCUAAACAAAUUUUGUACCAAGAUUAGUUGCUUGAAGAACAUUCAUCCACUUGGGUAGAAAAUAGUAAAAUGCAUCCUAAUCACUAAACACUGCCAUAAUUACUUUUCUCUUUGCUUCCUAACUAUUCUAUUAUGAACUUCAUGGCCAUAUUUAUCUUUCAUUAUCUGAUGCAAUGUUGGUGCUGACAUAGAUAGAUCAUUUCUUACUAUAUUUUGUAUCUUCCUAACAAUCAAGGUGGACCCCAAUUGAGAGUGGUCUUGUGAGAGUUUAAGAUAUACACAAGUGUGAGAACUUAUGUAUUAUGUUAUCUCAAACAAGUUGUGAGUUUUACAUCAACAAGCAUGAAGUCUCCACUUAUAACCUUCAUCCCACCUCUUGCAUCUUAUUGACCAUAAAUGAGGUUCUAAUUCAACUACAACAAAAUCAUGAUUAUUGUAUAUGCAAUAUCUUUUAACAACAUACUGUAAGUCUUUCUUAUUCUCAAACUGUAUGCCCUUGUACAAUACAUCAUGGUCAUUCCAUAUUCCAUUACGUGGCCCUAAGUUCUCCUUAUCACAUCCCAAUUCAACUCACUUAACAUCGGGGAAGGGAUGACAUAUUCAUGAUAAAGGUGUGUAGACUCAUUUCCCAAAUGCUCCAGUCUAUCAACAUCAUUAUCUUCAAAUCAUGGUUUUCAGGGGCCUCAUAAACAUAUCCUUCACUCAUGACCAUGUCAUGCACCGCAUUGGAAUCUAUAUUCAUUACAGGCUUAUCAUAAUCUUCACUUAUUUCAAGUGUAUCAUCAAGAUCCACCAUUUUUUGAGACGGGAUAAGCGGUACAUCAAUUGACAAUUCAAUGGUGCAGUCAACAUUCUCUAUCUCCACUUAUAGGAACUCUGCAUUUAUGAGUAGUGUUACAAAGUUGAAAUUACCAUCUACAAGAUUAAUUGCAUAACGAUAAACCAACUUCAACUUUACUUGAGAUGAGCCUUUGCACAAUGCUUGACUUAAACAUGCAACUAAGUCAUUGAAUGUUGUGUUGCUUCUAACUAACACAACCUUUGAUGGAGAAGAAUUGAAGCAAAUCUCAUUAGGUGCAUUGAUCAUAUUACCAUUAAUGUAACAUAACACUAUAAUUGAACUUUCCCCCAUUGUUGAUCCUAAAGUUUAGAAAAAAUACAAGACUUUAGUAACCUUAAAUGAAUAAAGGGAAAUUCUAAAUAUGACAAAAGAGAAUAAUUCUAGCCCUUCUACACAUACUUGUUGAACUUAAAAAAACAUCUUCUCAAGUACUCUACAUUGCACCAACAAAUUACAAACACACAUAUGGUUUUCAGAAAAAAAAAAGGAUUUUUGGAAAAGGGGAAUGGGAUUUUUAGAAUUUGAUGGUGCUUUAUGUGGUGUCCAAGUGGCACCUAUGUGGCAAAAUCUAAGAUAUUUUUAUCAAUAUUUUUUUAAGUGCAUUUGUAAAAAAACUGUUUUUUUCUUAAAAUAUUAUAUUUUUAUCAAAAAUCCCUAAAAGAGGUAGGACCCGAACUUCUUGGCAUGAAGAUGGAUCAUCUGUCUUCAAGACUAACAAAUCAAAUAUUAAUUGAAGGACCUGAUUUUAAUUUAUUAAGUUACCAAUCUAAUUUUAAAUUUAAUUAUAUAAAUUUGGAAGGGGAAAAUUGUGUUUUGGACCCAACUAGGCCCAAAAAUUAAGAUUUGGCCCAUAAAAGUUACAUAAUUGAGGGAAAGGAUAUAAAAUAUGAAGAGACCAAUAUAUCCUUCAAAACUAUUUUGAGUAUUUUCUACCAUAAUGUUUGACAAACUUUUUUAGCUUAAUUUUUUUUAAAUAAUUAUUCUAAAAAUUUAUUAUUUUUAGAAAACUAAUUUUAAAAAAUAUAUAUUCUAAAAAUAUAUCAUUUAAAAAAAAUAAAUUUGACAUAUUUUUAGUUAUUUUUUAUAUACACAAUUUUAAAAAUAUAUAUUUUCCAAGAUGUUUUAUUUUUAAAUAAUAAUAAUAAUAAUAAUAAUAAUAAUAAUUUAUUUUUAUUUUUUUGGAAAAUGGUGUAUUUUUUUUUCAAAUAACUAAAUUAAAUUAAAUUUUAUUGAGAUUUACAAAAAGAAUAAAAUUUAAAUUAAUGUUUUUCUACUUUUUUUUUUUUCAUAGUCAAUAAAGAUCAUUUUUUGAAAGAUAAAAAGUUCAUAUCCUUCUCAAUUUUCACACUUCCUUUAGGUAUUAAGCUUAAAUGGUGAAUUUAUAUGGAUCAAAACUUAAUUUUUAGGUCCACUUAAAUCCAAAACACAAUUGUCCCUUUUAUCUAAUACCUCUUUGACAGAUGAGAGAGUUCAGAGACGUAAAACAGAAACACACCAUUGAAAUCAAGUGCAGUCCUGGCGACGUACUGCUUAUCAAAUAAUAGGGAACACACCAGUUCAACCGGGCCACGGUUCUCCAUUUGUAAGAUCCUAGAAAUGACCAAUACGACUUUUUCUAGCCGCAAAUUGAUUACCAAUUGGAAUUGAACACUAUCAAAUUAUGCACCACCUCAUAAUUUGGACUUUAAGCGAUGUCCAUUUUUAUAUUUUUUUUAGUUCACAUCAGAGAUGAGUGGGUGAAUGGGUAGAUACUUUACUCUGAAGGAGUCUCUUUGAUACCAGUCAUUGAUGAUAAUACUUUUGAGCGACUUUGUUUUACAUCUUUCGACUUUUGGUAAAAGGUUUUGCACAAGCUGAUCAACUUUAGUGGGAUUUGCCACGUGUGGACAUGGAUACGUGUUUCGGUAGCUUCCUGCUGCAUAUAAACCAAGGAAGAUCCCAGAACUUGCGAUAGAACGCACGCAUUUAGAUACACACAAAAAGAAAAUGGGAAGCUUUCUAGAUCUUCUGUACAAGGAAAACGCGUCGUUCUUUCUGCUAUUUCUCCCCUUUUUCGUCUUCAUAUACUUCCUCAUCAAAUGGCUCUAUCCUACUACUCCUGCAGUCACCACAAAGAGGCUACCUCCUUCCCCACCAAAGCUCCCAAUCAUUGGAAACCUCCACCAACUAGGCUUGCUCCCUCACCGCUCCCUCUGGGCCUUGGCUCAGCGCCAUGGCCCCAUUAUGCUGCUCCAUUUUGGCAAAGUUCCAGUGGUCAUCGUCUCAGCUGCAGACGCUGCAAGAGAGAUCAUGAAGACCAAUGAUGUCAUCUUUUUAAACAGACCUAAAUCGAGCAUCUUUGCGAAACUUCUCUAUGAUUACAAGGACGUUUCCAUGGCCCCCUAUGGAGAGUACUGGAGACAGAUGAGGAGUAUCUGUGUACUCCACCUUCUCAGCAACAGAAGGGUUCAGUCCUUCCGAGGAGUCCGCGAAGAAGAGACAGCCCUUCUGAUGGAGAAGAUCUCUUCCUCUUCUUCCUCCUCCACCCCAAUUGAUUUGAGCAAAAUGUUUCUGUCCCUAACAAAUGAUCUCAUAUGCAGAGUUGCCCUAGGAAGAAAAUACAGCGGAGAUGAAACUGGAAGAAAAUAUAGAGAACUGCUGAAGGAGUUUGUGGGGUUGCUGGGUGGCUUCGAUGUUGCCGACUACAUUCCAUGGCUGUCAUGGGUGAACUUCAUCAAUGGUUUGGAUGCAAAAGUGGAGAAAGUUGCUAAAGAGUUCGAUAGAUUUCUUGAUGAAGUGGUGAAAGAGCACGUGGAGAGAAGGAAAAGAGGUGUAGAUGAGGAAGUGAAGGAUUUUGUGGACGUUUUGCUUGGCAUUCAGGAGGAUAAUGUCACAGGCGUUGCCAUAACUGGAGUUUGCAUCAAAGCUCUUACUCUGGUAAGGAUGAUUAAUUAACCAUCAUGGACGAGCAAAGUUUGUUUGGCAAUCAAGAAAAAAAAAAAAAAAAAAAUCUUUCUGUCUUUCAUUAUAUAAAAAGGAGCAUCAUGAAUUUAACAUUAUAACUGGUAUUGUUGGACUUUGUGGAGUUGCUUUUUAUUAUUAUUAUUAUUUGUGUAUAUGUAUUGGUAUUUAUAAGAAUUUCCUAUUUUUCUUCGGUUGCAAGAAGAUUCAUCUACUUAAUUAUGCUAACAACCAUUUGCCAAGAUGAUAUAUCAUUAUAAUAGUACAGUGUGAUUUAUACAAAUUUAAGAUCAAUAAUAAUUUUUCCCAAAUUAUCAAAUUAACUUGAUAUUCAUUGUUCACCCAUUUCAGAAUUCGAAAUACCUGUCAAAAAGCUGCUACUUAAUGCAUUCUCCCUUCUUGUAGGACAUGUUUGCUGCUGGAAGUGACACUACAUACACAGUCUUGGAGUGGGCAAUGACAGAGCUCUUGAGGCACCCACAAGUCAUGAGGCAACUUCAGAAUGAGGUCAGAGGAAUUGCUCAAGGCAAACUCCUCAUAACUGAGGAUGACUUAGACAAAAUGCAAUAUUUGAAGGCAGUGAUCAAAGAGACUCUCAGACUACACCCUCCAGUCCCACUACUACUUCCCAGAGAAUCCACCCGGGGCGCCAAAAUAAUGGGCUACGACAUUGAAGUAGGGACACAAGUCAUUACCAAUGCAUGGGCAAUUGGGAGAGACCCACUGUUAUGGGAUGAGGCUGAGGAGUUUCGGCCAGAAAGGUUCUUGAAUUCUUCUAUAGAUUUCACAGGGAAAGACUUUGAGUUGAUCCCAUUUGGAGCUGGCCGGAGAGGUUGCCCGGGAACUCUGUUCGCGGCAAUGGCA
RNAcentral lists this long non-coding RNA (82860 nucleotides) under Vitis vinifera (wine grape). Its description in RNAcentral is "long non-coding RNA (VVIN_LNC005770)". Lineage: Eukaryota; Viridiplantae; Streptophyta; Magnoliopsida; Vitales; Vitaceae. The record is from RNAcentral.